CGUCACUAAAGGCCAUUAAAGUCCAGGCUGCCUCAUGUUAUGUCUUCUCUCAUGACAGUAUAUUUUAUAAAUGUUUGUGGAAUGCUAAGGUGCAACCAAAAAUUAAGACAUUCUUUUGGUGCCUAGUCAGAAAUUCUCUUAAGACUUUUGAUAAUCUAUGGAAAAGAAAAGUCUCUUAGUCUCCUAAUUGUGGAUUGUUGNNNNNNNNNNNNNNNNNNNNNNNNNNNNNNNNNNNNNNNNNNNNNNNNNNNNNNNNNNNNNNNNNNNNNNNNNNNNNNNNNNNNNNNNNNNNNNNNNNNNNNNNNNNNNNNNNNNNNNNNNNAAUAUUAUGUACUUAUGCUCGCAUAAUUGGAAAAUGCAGAAUGAUAUGCUCUUGAAAAUCAAGUCCUUAACCUUAUCAAAGUGACCUGGCAAGCUGAAUGCACUUUUACAAAAUUUCAAGAAUUAUUGAUCAAUAAGGAUGAGCCUCCAAACCCUUUCCUAUCCUCUAAUAGGAAUUUAAGGUACUUGGCUCUCCAGAUCAAGAUUUUGUUAAGGUGAAUUAUGAUUGCUCCAUUAUUUUGGAGAGUAAAUAUGCAGGUCUCAAGUUUAUUAUACGAGGUAAUAGCGGUAAAGUGAUAUGAACUCGAACCAGAUACGUACAAACACCAAGAUAAACAAUGGUGGGAAUAUCAAAUUGAUAAACGCUCUCCCUAUUAAGAGGAAGCACCCUUACUAAUAAGUUCAAAUUUUCGCCCCAAGAUCUAACUUGAAAGUUUGCAAUUGUUUAUAAAACUAACAAACUUAGCAAUAGAACUACUAAGCCCUUUAGUCAUAAAUAGAUGAAGAAUGUUGAAACAACCCAAGAAACUAAUAAAAAGUUAAUUGAUUAAUCAAACAUGUAGAUGUGAAACUAAACUAAAUAAGUUAAUUUAAUCUCAAGAAAUUCAAGAGUUAACAAUUCAAGGAAAAUAAACUUCAUUCAAAAUGAUAUAUUGAUCUAAUGUCUUUGGCCAAAAUACAUAGCUCUAUUUAUAGAGUUGUGAAAUGAUUCUAACCCUAAAAAAGACUAAGAGAUAAGCAAUAAAGAAUCAAACCCUAAAAGACUCCUAAUAUGCGGCUGCCUCCUUUAGAAUUUUAGGAGAUAAACCAAUCUAGAAUAAAACUCCUUAAUUAAGAUAAACAACAAGGAAACAAAUAAUUCUAUCUAAUCUCUAUCUUGUAAAGAGAUAUGUGGCUGCCUUCUUCUAGAAGCAUAAGUGGCGGCUACCUCCUAGGGUUAGAUGAGACAUCCCAUACUUCUAGAAACCCUAGGAAGACUUAUUGACUUUGAUCUUUAACCUUUGACCUUGACCUUGUUCCAUAACUAGAAGCUAAGCUUCAUUAGUAGCAAUUAAUGUUACUAUCUUUAAGGCUUUGUCAUCAUCAUAAAAAAUACCAUCAUUAGCCAUCUUCAAAGCAUGCUCCAAGUAAGAAUUUAAGGCUUGCUUGAACUUCUUACUCCUUGCUCGUGUCAUUGGUCCUUCAUAGGCUAGUGGGUCCAAACUAGUUGACUUAGAUGNNNAUGCAUUAUUGUUGAUGCGCUCUAUCACUUGAAAUGGACCAUCACCACGUGGCAUCAACUUUGAUUUCCUUUGAUUGGGAAACCUUUCCUUCCUGAAAUGCACCCAAACCCAAUCACCAACUUCGAAUACCAUCCUUUUGCGGCCCUUAUUGCGUUGUUUGGUGAUUUGUUCAUUAUGCCUUUCCAAGUUUGCACGCACUUGUUCAUGCAACUUCAACACAAAUUCAGCCUUCUUUAUGCCAUCUAAAUUCAUUUGUUCACUCAAAGGUAAAGCAAUCAAAUCUAAAGAACUCAAAGGAAUAAAGCCAUAAACAAUCUCAAAUGGGCAAAAUUGAGUAGAAGAAUGCAUACUACGAUUAUAUGCAAAUUCAACAUGCGGCAAACAAUCUUCCCAUGUUCUCAAGUUUUGUUAACCAUGGUCCUAAGUAAUUGUGACAAAAUUCUAUUCACUACCUCGGUUUGACCAUCGGUUUGGGGAUGACAUGUAGUAGAAAACAACAAUUUAGUUCCCAAUUUACCCCAUAAGGUCUUCCAAAAAUAGCUCAAAAACUUGAUGUCCCUAUCACUAACAAUAGUUCUAGGCACACCAUGUAAACGUACAAUUUCUGUAAAGAACAAUUCAGCAACACGUUAUGCAUCAUCAGUUUUCCUACAUGUGAUAAAGUGUGACAUCUUUGAAAACCUAUCCACCACAACAAAAAUACUAUCAUGCCCAUGCUUAGACCUAGGUAAUCUAAGCACAAAAUCCAUAUAUAUGUCAAUCCAAGGAGAAUUAUGUAUGGGCAAAUGCAUGUACAACCCAUUAGGUUGUGAUUUAGACUUAGCUUGCUUGCAUACAAUACAGUUAGCACAUAAUCUAUUCGCAUCAGAUUUCAUCUUAGGCCAAUAGAAAUGAUCAUGCAAGACAUCUAAGGUCUUUGAACACCAAAGUGUCCCAUCAAGUCACCUUCAUGUGACUCUCUCACAAGCAAUUACGCAUAGAACACAUAGGAAUGCAUAGACGUUUUUCCUUGAACAGAAAUCCAUCAUGUCUAUAAAAUUUAUCAAUAGCACCAUGUUCACAAGCAUGAAAAAUAGAACCAAAAUCGUGGUCAUCAACAUACAAGUCUUUGAUAUACUCAAAACUAAGCAAUUUUGUUUCUAAAGAAGCAAGUAAAGCAUACCUUUUAGAUAGUGCAUUGGCAACUGCAUUUUCUUUACCUUGCUUGUACUUAAUGACAUAGAGAUACGCUUCAAUGAAUUCACUCCACUUAGCAUGGCAUUUAUUCAACUUGUUUUAUCCUUUCAAGUGCUUCAAUGCUUCAUGAUUCGUGAGAAUCACAAACUCCUUAGGUAGCAAAUAAUGCUGCCAAACAUCAAGUGCACGCGCAAGAGCAUACAAUUCCUUGUCAUAAGUUGGAUACUUCAAGUAAGCUCCAUUCAAAUUUUUACUAAAAUAGGCUAUUGGCUUCCCAUCUUGCAUUAAAACAGUUCCAAUACCUACACCAGAAGCAUCACAAUCAAUUUCAAAAAAUUUGGAAAAAUCAGGAAGUGAAAGAAUAGGAGAUGAAGUAAGUUUAUCCUUUAGCAUAUUAAAUGCUUUUUCUUAUUGUUCUCCCCAAUGAAACUUUACGUUCUUCUUUACAAGCUCAUUGAGUGGUGCGGCAAGGGUACUGAAGUCCUUCACAAACCUCCUAUAGAAGCUUGCAAGCCCAUGAAAGCUCCUCAUGUCACUAACAUUCUUUGGUGUUGGCCACUCCUUAAUUGCUUUCACCUUGUCUUCAUCAACCUGAAUUCCAUUUGCACUAACAACAAAACCAAGAAACACAAGUUUAUUUGUGCAAAGAUCACACUUAGCAAGGUUAGCAUAUAAAGAAUUCUCACGCAAAACCAUCAACACCAUUCGAACAUGUUCAACAUGCUCAUUCAAGCUCUUACUAUAAAUCAGAAUAUCAUCAAAGUAUACUACCACAAAUUUUCCAAUAUACGCAUGCAAAACAUGGUUCAUUAGUCUCAUAAAAGUACUUGGUGCGUUAAUUAAGCCAAAAGGCAUGACCAACCACUCAUACAAACCAAAUUUAGUUUUGAAUGUUGUUUUCCACUCAUCACCUAUAUUCAUUCUAAUUUGGUGAUAGCCACUUCUCAAAUCAAUUUUAGUAAAGAUAACACUACCAUGCAAUUCAUCUAACAUAUCAUAUAACCUAGGAAUAGGAUGACGAUAUUUAAUGGUAAUCUUGUUAAUUGUACGACAAUCAACACACAUACGCCAAGACCCAUCUUUCUUAGGGACUAAUAAAAUAAGAACAGCACAUGGGCUAAGACUUUCCCUAGCAUUAACCUUUACUUAGUAAUUCCUCAACUUGGCAUUGCAACUCUUUUGUCUCAUCGGGAUUGACUCUAUAGGCUGGUCUAUUUGGAAUGGAUGACCCCGGCACAAAGUCAAUUUAGUGCUCUAUUCCCCUUAGUGGUGGCAACCCACUAGGUAACUCCUCGGGAAACACAUCGUCAAACUCCUGCAAAACACUUACAAACACACUAUGAAGAGAAGAGUUAAGAUUAUUAGUGUUAAAUAAAGUUUCCUUGUACAUAAGUACAAGUACUUGCCUAUUUUCACUCAAAGCCUUUCUCAUAUCUUGCUCUCUAACUAAGAAACUUAUAUUUUUCUCACUUGCCUCCCCUUUUUCUUGCACCUUACUCAUUCUUUUGCUCAUAUUCUUGCGAAAACCCUCGUUGAACUCUCCUUUUACCACUCUUUGCUCUCGCCCCUCAUUAUUUUCCACACAACUCCCCUUUUGCUUAUGCACCUUUUCUUUUUCAUGUGCACUCUCACACUUUCAUUUUUCUUUCUUAUAUGCUUCCAUUCGGUCCUUUACAACUCUUUGUAAUUCACAAACUUCUUUAGGAAUCAAUGGUGCCAAAACAUAUAGUUUUCCAUCCAUUACCAAAGAAUAAGCAUUAGUUCGACCAUUAUGAAUUACAGAUCUAUCAUAUAACCAUGGUCUACCUAGCAACAUAUGACAUGCUUGCAUGGGAACAACAUCACAUAGUACCUCAUCAUGAUACUUCUUUACACUAAAUGCAAUCCGUACUUGCUUAGUAACUCUAAUUCCAUUUUGAUCAUUAAGCCAUUGCAAGGUGUAUGGCUUAGGAUGCUUAAUAGUUGGCAGUUUAAGUUUAUCAACCAUCAUAGCACUUGUUACAUUAGUACAACUACCCCCAUCAAUGAUUAAACUACAAUUAGCAUCAUGUUUUUGUACUUUACAUGUAGUAUGGAAUAUGUUUUCCCUUUGAGCAUCAUCAUCAACAGGUUGUAAAUUAAGAGUUCUAAAGGUUACAAGUACAUUACUAACCUCACCCAAUUACACAUCAUCACAAUCCUCCAACUCAAGCAUGUCUAAGUAAUCCUCCUUAGUAGGUUCGGAUUCUUCAUCACUCUCCAAGACCACUUCACCACAUCGUAUUGCCAUGGUUCGCUUGUUUGGACAUUGGGAAGAUAUAUGCCCAUACCCCAAACACUUGAAGCAUUGCACUUUCUUCGAUUUGAGGUCACCUUGCAUCAUUGACUUAGUGUUAACAUCAAGUUUAGGGGCUGCCUUGAUGUCUUUUGAUGCCUCACGACCCUUGUUAGGGGGCUGGUUGCUCCCUUUCCAUGUGUUACUCCAUUUUGAGCUAGGGGCAGCACUUCUACUCUUGGUUUUCAAUUGCUUUUCCACCUUUACGGCCAUGUGCAACAUGUCCUCCAUCUCUACAUAAUGCUGCAAUUCAAUUAUGUUAGCAAUAUCAUGAUUCAAACCAUGCAGAAAUCUUGCCAUUGUGGCUUCCCUAUGCUCAUCUAUAUUGGCUCUAAUCAUAGCUAUCUCCAUAGAUUGCCAAUACUCCUCAACACUCUUAUUACCUUGUACUAAAUUUUGUAACUUGUUGUACAAAUCCCUUUGGUAGUGCGAUGGCACAAACCUUUUACGCAUAAUGCGUUUAACCUCAUCCCAUGAACCAACUUCGAGUUCCCCAUAACACCUACGACUACUCACCAAUUGUUCCCACCAAAUGGCAACAUAAUCAUAAAAUUCAACUAUCGUAAGUUUAACCUUCUUAGACUCAAUAUAGUUAUGACAUUCAAAAACCCUUUCGACCUUCUUUUUCCACUCCAAAUAAGCUUCAGGGUCACUUUUACCAUGAAAAGAUGGUAUUUUCAUCUUAAUACUACCCAAAUUAGUGUCAAUUUUGGGUUGGAGACUAUGUCUAGACCCUUUAGACUCACUUUCUAGGUCAUUAUCAAAACCGUCCCUUUUAGACGUUUUCGGCAUAUCAUUCAAUAACCUAGUUAAUUUAUCAUCUUGUUUUUGAAAUUGUCUUUGCAUAUGUUCUACUAUAUCUCUCAAUUUAGAAGCUAAGUUUUUCAAAGUCAAUGGUUGUUCAAAUGACAUGGUUAACCCAAAAGACUAGAAAAGAAAAUAGAAAAAGACGUGAUCAAGUGUUAUACUCUGGAGCCUUCUUAUAGUAAAAGGCAAAACAAGAAAAGAUCACUCCCUCACGUGUUUCACUCACAAAGAAUUGAAUUCCUUAUAAAAAUUAAAUCAAAUUGUUCCAGUAAUCACAAAAGUGAGUUUUUCACAAUCUCUUAACGUUUAUUAAUUCUGAAGUUCAAUAGAACACUCGUGAAUCAAUAAAACGAAUUAUAAGCGUGUGAACAAAACAAGCUUACAACUAGUCGAACAAGACUCAAUUAACCUAAAAGAAAAGCUUUUUUAAGAGAAACUAAAAAAUUACCCAAAUCAGAAUUUCAAGAAUGAAGAACAGCUCCAAUCAGUUUAAAAAAAAGAAUUGCAGAAUGAAUCAAUCAAGAAUAAAUUCUUCAAGAACCACCCAACACAAACGGUUAGGGUUAGUUUUCCAUUCCUUUCCUUUUUUUUUUUAGAAAUCUGCCUUGGUAUGCAGGUAGCAAUGAAAAUAUUAUACUUUUUUUCUUUAUAAUGAUGCGAACAUAAAUUGAGAUGAAAUAGAAGACAAACCCUUAAUUGAAAAGAAAGUAAACCAAACUUACAAGCUCUGAUACCAAAUGAUACAAACUCAAACCGGAUACGUUCAAACACUAAGAUAAACAAUAGUGGGAAUAUCAAAUUGAUAAACGCUCUCCCUAUUAAGAGGAAGCACCCUUACCAAUAAGUUCGAAUUAUCACCCCAAGAUUUAACUUGAAAGUUUGCAAUUGAUUAUGGAACUAACAAACUUAGUAAUAGAACUACUAAGCCCUUUAGUUAUAAAUAGAUGAAGAAUGUUCAAACAACCCAAGAAACUAAUAAAAAGUUAAUUGAUUGAUUAAACAUGUAGAUGUGAAACUAAACUAAACAAGUUAAUUUAAUCUCAAGAAAUUCAAGAGUUAACAACUCAAGGAAAAUAAACUUCAUUCAAAAUGAUAUAUUUGAUCUAAUGCCUUUGGCCGAAAUACAUAGCCCUAUUUAUAGAGUGUGAAAUGAUUCUAAUCCUAAAAAGGACUAAGAGAUAAGCAAUAAAGAAUCAAACCCUAAAAGACUCCUAAUGUGCGACUGCCUCCUUUAGAAUUUUAGGAGAUAAACCAAUCUAGAAUAAAACUCCCUAAUUAAGAUAAACAAUAAGAAAACAAAUAAUUCUAUCUAAUCUCUAUCUUGUAAAGAGAUAUGUGGCUGGCUCCUUCUAGAAGCAUAAGUGGCGGCUGCCUCCUAGGGUUAGGUGAGACAUCCCAUGCUUCUAGAAACCCUAGGAAGACUUGUUGACUUUGAUCUUUGACCUUUGACUUUGACCUUGUUCCAUGACUAGAAGCUAAGCUUCAUUAGUAGCAAUUAAUAUUACUAUCUUCAAGGCUUUAUCAUCAUAAUCAAAAACACCAUCAUUAGCCAUCUUCAAAGCAUGCUCCAAGUAAGAAUUUAAGGCUUGCUUGAACUUCUUACUCCUUGCUCGUGUCAUUGGUCCUUUAUAGGCUAGUGGGUCCAAACUAGUUGACUUAGAUGCAUCAUUGGUCGCAUUAUAAAGUCAGUGAUGGUGGGAUUUGUAGAAGAAGAGUUAAUUCAACUCUAGUUGGUAAUGCAUUGACUAUCUUGGAGUCAAUUAAGAAGGUUCAAAGUAACAGCUUCAAGAAGAUUGUAUUUUAAUCAGAUUCAAAAAUUGUUAUUUCUACAGUCCUUAAUUGGAUGAAACUGAGAGAUUAAAGUUGUAAUUUAUUUAAUUAUUUCUUAUGUUCAUCAAGAGUAUUGCUUUAUUUUUAAGGGAAAACGAUCCCAGAUACCCCAACCUUUAACCAUUUUCGCGAAUCUACCCUCACCUUUAAAACAUAUCAAUUUGAUCCACCAUGUUUGCAUCUUGUAUCAUUCCUACCCACCCGUGUUUUGGCGUGUACCAGUAAUGACAUGGCGUCCACACGUGGCUUGUCCUGCAGUCUACGUGGCUGAGCAUAAUGAAGACCUCAAAACUCACCGUUUCACUCUCCCGAUUUUCUCAAUUCUUUUUCCCCAAUUUUUUCCCCGGCGAAAUCCCCAAUAGCAUAAUUUUGUACUGCUCCUCUAAAUUAUUCUGCAUUUGUGAAUUUCAUUCCUGCUAAAAACUUUAACUCUUGAUGAUUACACUUAGGAUUGUAAAUUAUUUUUUUCUCUCUCUUUUUUUUCCUAAACCACAGUCAUCCUCAUCACUUGAAACAAGAGUAUCAACCUCAACAUCACUGUCAGGGUACUCAGAAUGGCACUCACUACUAUCACUCACAUUGCCAUCCACUCUAGUAUUGCUACUAGCCCCCACAAACCCAGUGUCAUAUCUCCCUUGGUCACUAUCCAAUCCUAAACCAAAUCCAUUGUCAACUACAGUCUUGCUAAAGUCCUUUAGAUUCUGUUUUACAGUCACAUAUUCCUAAUCCACAUCUGAGUCAGAAACAUCACAAGAUAGGCUAUCCUCAUCAUCACAUUCAUCAUUUUCAGGGGUAUAAUCUUCAUCCUCACUAGAUCCAACAUAGUUAUCAACAUUGUUCACACAUUCAGGUAUACUUCAUUUUCCAUUUAUUUCCAACACUUUCAGGUCAGUUUCAUUUUGAUUUGUAUUUUCAAAUCCAACUACAGUCNNNNNNNNNNNNNNNNNNNNNNNNNNNNNNNNNNNNNNNNNNNNNNNNNNNNNNNNNNNNNNNNNNNNNNNNNNNNNNNNNNNNNNNNNNNNNNNNNNNNNNNNNNNNNNNNNNNNNNNNNNNNNNNNNNNNNNNNNNNNNNNNNNNNNNNNNNNNNNNNNNNNNNNNNNNNNNNNNNNNNNNNNNNNNNNNNNNNNNNNNNNNNNNNNNNNNNNGCUUCAGCAUAAACUUUUAAAAAGCCAUACUCUAAACCUUCUGCAAACAUCUUUUUCACUCUUCCUCAGUUUCAACAAAAACUAAGCCUAGUUCCUUCCCUAUAGGGUUCCAUCUCUUGGGGGUUCAUAGGCAACACUUAAGAAAUGUAUAUAUCCUAAUAUUUUCACUAUCUCCUCAAUAUAAUCCAUAGUGAAACUACAAAUGCCACUAAGAUUCUCAGUUUCAACAAAAACUAAGCCUAGUUCCUUCCCUAUAGGGUUCCAUCUCCUAGGAGGUUCAUAGGCAAUAUUUAAGAAAUGUGUAUAUCCUAAUGUUUUCACUAUCUCCUCAAUAUCAUCCAUAGUGAAACUACAAAUGCCACUAAGAUUUACAGAAUACCCACCAACAUAGUUGAGUAUAGGAUUACUAAUUUAUGAACCAUCAUGAUGAAAUUCAAUAGGAAUACUGUAAAAAUAUACACACAGCAAUUAUAUUAGUAAUGCAGCAAUACAAAUGCCACUUUCUAGUAAUAACAAAUGCAAAUGCAUGUAGUAAUAAUAAAUGCAAAUGCAUGUAGUAAUAAAAAACGCAAAUGCAAAUGCAAGUGCUUAAAGGUUGUAGUAAUAACAAAUGCAUUUUUCGUACAAUGUUAUACCCACGACAAUAAGAUUUCCCACCACUUGCAUUGCUUUACCCAUUCAAUGUAUUAAUAAAUACAUACCUUCGUUGCCUUUUUCUGGAAGGAGCCAUCUUGCGGGGGACCACAGGCACGAGCUUCAACAAUAUUGGACCAUAGAAAAAGGGACAAAGAUAAUAGAGUGAAUUUGGCAAAAUGAGCGAAUUCGGCAAAAUAGAAAUUAGAAACCCUAGAAUACUGAAUUGGGGAUUUCGUCGGGGAAUAAAUUGAGGGAAAAGAAUUGGGGAAAUCGGGAGAGUGAAACGGUGAGUUUUGAGGUCUUCAUUAUGCUCAGCCACGUAGACUGCAGGAUAAGCCACAUGUGGACGCAUGUCAUUACUGGCACAUGCCAAAACAUGGGUGGGUAGGAAUGAUACAAGACGCAAACAUGGUGGACCAAAUUGAUACGUUUUAAAGGUGAGGGUAGAUUCGCGAAAAUGGUUAAAGGUUGGGAUAUCUGGAAUCGUUUUCCUUAUUUUUAAUCAUAUACAUAGAGAAGCCAACAAGGUGGGUGAUUGGUUAACUAAAGCUGCUAUUAACUUUUCUGGUCUUUCUGAUUGGCUAUGCAAUCCUCCUUAGCAGCUUGUUGUUUUCUAUCUCUGUUAUACGGAUUUCGGCAUUUGAGUAAUGAAUCAUCAUGUGUUUUUAAAAAAAUCAAAAAAUAGAAUACAUUGAUUAUUGAAUUAUAAAUUAGAAGAACCUUGUCAAUGUAAUUAAAAAAUAUAAAUACAAAAUUAAUUAUUUAUAUAUUUUCUUUGUGUAUCUCUUAGGUAUACUUACUCUUAUUUUUAUUAUUAGUAAAGUUUGUACUCUAUUUUUCAACAAAUAAAAAUAUUCAUGAUUGUAUAAGACAAUUAUGCGUGCAAAGGGUCUUAAUAAAUUGAGUAAUAGAUAAAUAAAAUUCGCCAUUAACUUUUUUAACAAUAAUAGUUCACGGUAGUAGUUGUUGUACAAUUAAUUAGUCAACCAUAUAUUUUUGUACAAUUAAUUAGUCAACUGUAUUUGCUUUCCUCCUUCGAAAGGCAAUGAAUGGGAACUAGGAAAACGUUGGUUCAUUUAUGACAUCAACAUGGUAAGACACAAUUGUAGUUAAUUUAUUAAUUUUACGUGUUUUACAAAUUGAAUUUGCAUAUUUUUACCAUUUUGACAUUUUUUUAACCAUUUGCACAUUCAUAUUUUUAUUUUUAAUCAAUUUGACUUUUAAUGUGAUUUAUAGAAAUACAUAUUAAGCAUGCGCUACAAUGAGUUGGACAAAUGAAAUGUAUAAAUUUCAUAUGUAUAUUAAUAAAAAUUAAAAAAUAAAUAAUAUUGACAAAAAACUGAAAUUUCUAAAUUAGACAUAUUAGAAUUGAAAUUUCUAAAUCAUUUUACAAAUCUAAGUUCUUCAUUUAUUCAACUAAUUGUUUUAGGAAUCCUUUAAGGAUUUGUUUAAUCCUUUAAGAAUUAGUGAUUCCUUAUACUGUGAUUCUGACACUGUAUAAUAGUUAUUAUUUAUAAUAAUAGACAAGUUGUUAAGAGUCAAAGAGAAAGAGAGUCAGGUGCCUAGAUUACAACCACACUCUUUUUUAUGCUGGCACUACAAAAAUAAAAUUACAAAAAUAAAAUUACACGAUUAAAUCAAAAUUUGGAGAUAAAAUUAAUUAAAAAUAAAGAUAAAAAUGAACUAUUAGUUAAAAUAAAAAUUAAAAAAAAAGUCAGAAGUCAAAUAUAUUUCCGCAAAAUAGUAAUACAAAAUAGAUAUGUGAAGAAAAGGGGACAGAUACCAUUUUGAUAAUAACUUAAAGCAUAUAUAUCAUACAUAUUUGUACGAAUUGGACAUGUAAAAGGAAAGGAGACAUACCAAAUGCAGUAAUUGAACGUGGAAAGCUUUAUGAUUUUUGCAACCAUAGUAAGGAAAUAUAUAUAUUCAUAUCAUUUGGUUAUUAUAAUAUCUUAAUUUCGUAAGUAAUUUGAUAAAUACUGUAACUUACUUAUUUUUUUUUAAAUUAAAACAUUAAAAUCAGUAAAUCACCAACAUUCAAGAAUCUAAAAUAUGUAAUUCGGACUGGCACAUAUUAUAAAGUAGGCAAUUUCUUAAAGGAGGAUAAUACCUUUAUCCUUACCAUGUGAGGGGCGAAUAGAUUGAUGUAAAAUGACCGAAAAGUGAUUAGGCAGUUCAAGCAUGGGGUUAUUAGGACCACAAUGUCACCGAAUCUAACUCCUCAUCAACCGUUACAAUUUAAAGAGAAAAAAAAAAAUUUUAAAAAAAAGCAUAUAAUGCUUUGCCAACAAAUAAGCAAAAGAAAUGCAUAGAAACACUCACUUAUCAACGCUUUUUUCUAGUUAAAAUGAAGGAUAGUUUUAGGAUAUUAUAAAUUUAUAAAAUAAUAUUUUACAAUAACUCAUCACUCAUUAAAAAAUAAUAAUUUUCAAAAGUUUUAUAUUUUAAAUGUAAUUAGUGAAUUCUUUUAUAAAAUGUUAUGAUAUUUAUUUGUAAAUUUAAAAUUUAUAUGUUUUAUUGAAAUUAUUUUAACAUAAAUAAAAAAUUACGAUGCGAUUUUAUUUUUUGACAACUUUAAAUAAUAUAUUUUUUAUAAAAAAAAUAUUUAGUUAGAAAUCAUAAUAAAAAUAAAUAUCUUAUUAUUAAACUCUUUUUUGAUUUUGCUAGAAUCCAACUACUGUUAUUUCGAUCAACCAUUAUUAUCAAAUAUUUUCUAUUUAUAUAUUUAGAGUUUAACAAUUCAUAGAGUUGUUAUUUGAUUACCAAAUUGAUACUAUUGGAUGCGUCAUUUCUUUCGUGGUGAUAUGCAGUCAAAGAACGAAGUUAGGAAUUAUUAAAUUCUAAAUUCACUUUAUCAAAUACAAACAAUAUGAUAAUUAUCAGACUAAAAAUAAUCAAAUCAUUACGAAUUAUUUUAAUGGUGAAAUACUUAUUUUUACAGUGAUUUCUAGCCACAUAUGUUUUUUUCCUAAGAACACAUUUAAAAUUAUCAAAGAAGGAAACUUAUAGUAAAGUAAAUUUUUUGUACUUGUAAAAAUUUUAUAUAACUAAAUUAAUAAAAUUGGUUAUAACUAAAUUAAAUUAUGAUAAAAUAGAUAAAAAAUUUAAAUAAUUUUCACAUUAAUAAGUCAAUAUAUUUCAUAUGAUUAAAAUACCUUUUUUGACUUUCUUAUUUCAUUUUAUUUUUUCUCUUGUUUUUUUUUCUAUUUAUAAUAUUUUCUAACAUAAUAUUUAUUUUAUUUAAAAUGAAUUUCGUAUUUGUUAUUUAGCACAUUAGAUAUAUAAAUUUAUUUAUAAAUGAAAUAAAAUGUUUAAUAAAUUUCAGUUAAACACAGUUUUAAAAUAUUGAUAGGCAAAAUAUUUUAAAAGAUGAUAAUUUUUUUAAAUCUGUCAAUAUAAUCCCAUUUUGUUUUAACAAACUAUCAUGUGAUCUUUUGUGAAAGCAUAAAUUACUAGUCUAAUCACUUAAAUAGUUAUUUAAUAUAUAAAUGUUAUCAUUUAAUUUGAGAGAUUUUCUUUUCUAAUGACUUAAAUAAUUAUUUUUAAAAUGUGAAAUGGUUAUUCUAAAUUGUACCAUUUCCUUUAUUUCCUUAAAUACCAAAGAAAAGAAAAGAAAGGUGAAACAAAAAGGAGGAAAUGAUAAUUUUAAGAUCUUAAAGUUCUUUCGUUGGGUGAAAUGGAAAUGUCAUUUUCACAACUUUGAUAUAAGAAUAAUAAUUGCAACCUGACAGUACUUUUCUAUUUCAUGUUCUAUGGACAUGGACAUGGGCAGCUGCAGUUCAAGUUCUUUUUUUUCUUUUUCUUUUUUCUAAAUAUCAGUUUGCCUAUAUAUUCACAUUUAAAAUUGGUAAAUUAACAACUUAAUGCAUAUGCUACUGGCUGAAAUAAUUAUAAUAAUGAUACUUUGGGUUGAAAUCAUUAGGAUUAUGAUACUUAAAGAAAAUAGAUAAAUAUAUUUCAUUAAAUGUGUAUUUGGUGGUGAGGUAUACAGCAAAAGAAUCAGUCUUUUAUAUAUAUUCCAAAAUGUGACAUAUUUCUAUUAAAUAUCGGUGGAUGUCGUAUAUAAAAAAAGAAUAAAAUUAAAAAAAUUAUCAUUUGAUUUGAUUUUUUUUAUUCGAAAGGUGAAAAUAUUUUUUAUAUAAAAAAAAUAUCAAAUGUAUUAUUAUUUUUAAAUACAUAUUAUAAUUUUAUUAUUUUAAUAUGAAUCAUUACUAUGCUGUGAUAUUUAAUAAUACAUCAAAAGAUGUAUAAAUAUAUUAAAAUUUUAUUUUUUAAAUUUAAUUAAAAUUAAUAAUAUAUAUAUAUAUAUAUAUAUAUAUAUAUAUAUAUUAAUAAUUUUUUAUGAUCAUAAAAUAUCUAAAAGCUAUAUUAAUUAAAAAUAUUUAUUUUAUCAAAUAUUUAUAUCUAAGAAAUGAAAAAACAUUUAAUGUAUUUAAGAAAAUGCUGUAAAAAAUAAAAUAUAAUAUUUUUUUAUAUGAAAAAUAUCUUCAUUCUUCAAGUGUAAAAGCAUCAAACUACAAAGUAGUUUUUUAAACUUUAUCUAAAAAAGAUUAAAUUGAAAAUUUCUCUAUAUUGUGUUUGGUUGAAAUAUAGAAAAUAUAUAGAAUUCAAUUACAAAUUCAUAAUUUAUGUGUUUUGAAUGAAGUGAAAGUUAAUUUAAAAUAUAAUUAAAUUCAUGUGAAAUUGAUUAUAAGUAAACUAAAUGCUAAUGAAAUAGAUAGAAUUUAAAAAUGAAUUCCACAUUAGUUUAUCAAUAUAUUUCAUAAAAUUAAUAUAUCUCUUUCAACUCUGUUAUUUUUAUUUUAUUUUCUCUCUCAAAUCUUCUUUUUUAAAUAAAGUAAUUUUUAUAUAGAUUUCAGCUAAACAUAAUUUUAUUUUUUUGAUAAUUUUUAUAUUUUAAACUACUUCCUAAUUGAUAAUAAAAUAGAUUUCUCACAUAAAUUAAAUCAUAAAAGAAACAUAUAAAUACAUAUAUACUUAAAUUAUUGCCCUAUAAUAAUGACCAACAUUAAAAUAAAAUACUUUUACACUUUUGUAUCCCAAACUAAAGGAAUAAGAUAAAAGUGCACCACAAGAAUAUAUAAUUUAAUCUCAUUUUCAAAAGAAAAGAAUAUAGUUAUUCUCCAUUCUCAAUAAAUCUUUACAUUUUAAAGUUCCUAACUCUGAUUUUUGCAAUUGGAUCCAUAUAUAACUUUUCUUUCAAUUUGAUAAAAAGAAACAAAUAUAUAAUUAUUUAUGCAAUUAAGGAAGAAGAACUUUUAUAUCAUAGAGAAACUCAAAUUUAAAAUAAAAUUAUUCUUCCAUAACUUAAUAUUUAAUAUGUAUCAACUAUUCAAUAUCAAAAAUAUAAUAUAUAUAUAUAUAUAUAUAUAUAUAUAUAUAUAUAUAUAUAUAUAUAUAUAUUAUAGAUAAAAAAAUUUAAAUAUUACUCAAGUUAUAAUAUAUACCUACCACUAAAUUAAGUUUGUGAAUAUCACCCUUCCUCUUUAAUAUCAUAUUUGUAUUUUUUUAUUUAGUAAUUUAGAAUAAUAUAGAGCGUGUUGGAUAGGACUCUUGCGGAUAAUAAAAUAUUAUUUCAAAAGUCUUAACGUAGUUACACAUUUAAAAACUCAAAAUCAUAAUUAAGCUCAAAAUACUAUUACCAUCCUAUCUAUAUAUACUCAAAAUCAUAAUAAAAUUGCCAUUUCUAUUUUUAUCUGAUUGAUAACUCGACUAGCUAGUUGCUUUUGCCGUGAUAAUAAAAGGAUAGAAAUUCAAACACAUGCCAACUCUAUUAAGCUUGAUUUAUGGUUUUACUUAUUUUAAUCAAAUUUUCCAAUAAUUUUAAUUAUGGUUUUUUCAAAAUAAAUCUUUCUGAAAAAAGAGUCAAUAUAGUACUAAAAAGAGAAAAUUUAAUGAGAACUUUAUUUACUUAUCGAUUGUUUUAUUUUAUUGUAAAUAAAUAUCAAGGGUUAAUUUUACAUGUCAAUUCAUAUUCGGUAAUGCUAUUCUUAAAAUAAUUUACUUUCUUACUUAGAUAAAACAAUAGGUAUAAGUUAAUUUUUUUAGUUUUAUGGUAAUUAAAAAUGUAGAGAAGUAUGUGGUAAAAGGUAUAAAAAUGCCUUUAAACUUAUUAUAAAAGUCUAAUUAAAUUUUUAUUAUUUUUCUUAAUUCAAUUAAACUCAUUAAUUUUUAUAAAAGAUCCAGUUGAGUUUUUUUUUUUUUUUUGGUCAAUUAAACCCAUCAAUUUGUAUAAAAGGUCCAAUUAACUCUUAAUACUAAUAUCGUCCAAAAUGACGUUGACAUGUAAGAAUCUUAUUAUUUUAAGAGUGCAAAUAAUAAUCGCUCUGAAUAUUUUAAAAUCACGCCUAUAUCACAUGAGUGAGAAAAAACUACUUUUUUCCUUAUUUAACUUACAUCAUAGCUCCUACAACUAUAUAAUUUUUUUUAGGAUUGGUCUCCCUUCAUGAAGUAUACAUCUUUGUGGUUAAAAAUAUAUUGGAGGUGGAGAGAUAUAAUAUAACUCAACAACUUACACUCAUCCUUUAUUUACAAAUUAGCGUGAUGAAAAAAAUGAAAAUAUUAUUGCCAUUUUAGGUGAGGCAAGAAAUUACUACUCUUUUUUGUAAAUGAUGAUUUAUAAAUACUAAUUAUGCAAAAGUAAAAAAAAGUGGUUUUCUAUCCAUCACGUGAUAUAUGCAUGACUUUAAAAUAUUCAGAACGGUUAUUAUUCGCGCUCUCCAAAUAAUGAGAAAUUUACACUUAACGGUAUUUUGGACGCUAUUAUCAUUAUGAGUUAAUUGGAUUUUUUUAUAAAAGUUAAUAUGUUUAUUGGGCUAAAAAAUAAAAUAAAAAUUUAAUUGGACUUUCUAUAAAAAUUAAUGAGUUUAAUUAGCCAAAAAAAGAAUGAGAGUUUAAUUAUAUUUUUCUAAUAAGUUUAAAAGUAUUUUUGUUCCUUUUGCCAAAUUAUUUUAUAUAAUUUUAUUUUCCUAAAAGAGUAUAGUUUUCCAGUUAUUUUUACAUGUGAAAAUAAAUACAGGUCUGUCUGUCUGGUGAGAAGGACGGUUUGGUAAAUAGAGAAACAAGAAAAACAGAGCGGUGGAGAGAGGGUUAGCAGCGGGUCUUCUCACUUGUGUUCAACGUCCCUUACCUGCAAAGCAGUCCACAUAACACAAACAGAAAACACUCUUAUUUAUAUUUAUAUUUUCUUUUUAUAAUUCUUGCAUUCAAAGAGAGAGAAAAGAACAAACUACGCACUAAGCUUAAACAAGGAAUAAAGAAAAAAAAAAAGAGAUUACCAUGUUUAAAUAACAAAACAGAUACACAGCCAUAGCCACCCCCAACCCAACUCUUGUUUUAUCUCUCUCUCUCUCUCUCUNNNGUCUUAUUCUUCUGGAAUUCUACAACUGGGUUGGUUCUCUUUUCUUUUCUUUUGAAAAAUGGAUUCUUUGCUGAGAUAGCUAUUGGGUUUUGCAAUAAAGAAGAAGAAUUUAGAGACAGUAUAAACGAUACAAAAUUAAUAAAGAAAAUGUCUUUGAAGAGUAGAGGUGGGGAGCUGAAUUAUUCUUAUUCUUCUUCUACUUCUAAUAAAAGUGUUAUAUCACAAAGAUGGACCCUUUUCCUUUGCUUGUGUUGUUUCUGUGGUGGAAUGCUCUUCACCAAUAGGUAUGCUUUCAAUUCACACUGUUUUUGGGUUGUUUUCUUGAAUUUCAAGCUAGUGCUAUUUUUGGAAUAUAUGUUCUUUCUUUUUAAUCUCUUUUCCAAAAUCAGGAUUUUGAUAAAAUCCUUCUUCAGUUUUCUGGCUUUUACAAAUGGGAGAAAGCUGUUUUGGACAAAUUCUUUGAAGUUCUCAUGUUUUUGAGAUCUAUCUCUAUCUGAUUCUUAAUUGUAUUUACAUGUAUAUUAACUGGUUUUGUGAGAACAAAUGUGUUUUUAAUCAAAUGGAUGUUCUUUUUUUCUCUAAAUUUUUUUGUAAUCUUAAUAUGUGAAAGGUUUUCUUGGCUUAUACUUUUUGGGUUUCAUUUAGGCCUAAUAAAUGUAGAGAGAGAUAAAUAGAUCCAUAUUUGGAUUUUCUGAAGGAAGCUCACCCUUCAAAGUUUGUGGUGUUAUGUUGUUUUUCUAUCUUUCAUGAAGUUUUGAUGAUAAGUCAAUUGUAGUCUAAAACUAGAAUUCACUUCCCUUAAUUUUUGGUGGACAUUCUUGCGUCUUGAAAAACUACCUCCAAUUUUUUAUUAAAUCGGCUUCAACAUUAAUUGGAGGUAAAGCCUCUUUUAUCUGAUGUCAUAAUCUUUGUUCAGUUUGUAGCAAAUGUCACCGUUGGUCCUUCAUUAGAUUUUUUCAAUUGAGCGAUUUCUUUAUCCUCCCAAUAGUAUAAAAAUAUAAAACUAAAUCUGUAGUUCUCGAUUAGCUUUGAAUUUAUUUUGUGGCUUCUGGUGCAGUUAGAUCUUAUUGAGUCCGUAUUUUAUUAUCGAAAUUGAUUUUUGAGAUUUUGUUUGAAGUUCUAUGUGCUUUUAUUUUUAUUUAAUUCAAAUUGUGAUGAUAUUUCAUCAAGGACAUAUGUAGUUGGCAUUUAAUUUAUGAUGGCCUGCUAAUGAGGAAAAUUGCUGACAGGAUGUGGACAGUUCCCGAGUCUAAAAGUAUCACCCGGACAACUGCAAUGGAAGCUGAAAAAUUGAAGUUAGUUUCAGAGGGUUGUGGCAUUGAAACUGUGGGUAUCUCCUCCAUUACUUUGUUGUAAUCCUCUAAGUUUAGCUGACAGAUAUGCAUUAAUUUGUUCCUUCUCAUUCAAAUGAUUGUUUGUAAUCUGAUUUGAUUCCUUUAGUUGCAUCAGAAAGAAGUAAGACGCGACUCGAAGGAUAUUAUUGGAGAAGUGUAUAAGACCCAUAAUGCCAUACAGUGAGUAUAUCUUAUGCUGUUCUACCCUCUGCUGCUAUAAUUUGUUUAUUUUGGCUUUGAGUGCUAUAAUCUUGAGUAUCUAGCUUAUCAUAGCAUGUGGAAUGUAGGACAUUAGAUAAGACCAUUUCAAAUUUGGAGAUGGAAUUAGCUGCUGCAAGGGCAGCACAAGAGUCCAUACUCAGUGGCUCUCCUUUAUCAGAAGACUUGAAGAGUACCGGAUCAUCAGGGAAAAGAAGGUAUUUGAUGGUUGUUGGUAUUAAUACUGCUUUCAGCAGCCGGAAAAGAAGAGAUUCAGUUCGUGCAACAUGGAUGCCACAAGGUUUGUAGAUUGUUCACUUGCCUCUUUAUCCUCUAUUUUCAAUAUUCUUAUGCUAUUCGGAUUGCAAAUUAGAGUAAACUUUCCUGAUUACUGUUUUGAAACAUAUGGAAAUUAGGUGAGAAAAGGAAGAAACUGGAAGAAGAGAAGGGUAUCAUCAUUCGAUUCGUCAUUGGUCAUAGGUAAGGGUCCUAAUCUGGUAUGACUUUUUAGGCGUGUGUGUGCUAGUGUAUUUAUUCUUUCCUAAUAUGUCAAACUGUAGUCCCUUCAAGUUAAACUGAAGACUCAGCAUUUUAUGCAGGUAGAUAUUCAUAUUGAUAAAAUUUUUAAUGUGUAUCUUCAAACUGCUAGGACUUGCACUACUUAAGUUAAUAUCUAACACUUCUAUCUAAUCAGUUUACUUGAUAAAUUUAUUGUUUUAUGGACUAAGUUAAUUUUUUUGGAAAUAAUGGCACCAAUUUCUUAUGAUAGAAUAUGAAAAUAUGUAUUUUCCUCUGGUGAUUUUAUUCUGCAAAGAUUCUAGAAAAAGAUACUCAUAUCAUCAAUUUGUAGUUUGCUUGGUUCUUUGAUACAGACUAUUUGUAAACGUUGCCCAAUUGUUGUUUAUCUAAGAAGCAUUUAACCAUCGUGAAUAACUCAGGCAGUUAUUACUGUACAGAGAACUUUGUUUACCUGGGGCUACUGUUUUGUUUCAAUCUUUAAGACAAUCCAUAAAUUUAAUGACAAUCAAUUCUACUCUCUCUAAAAUCAUUGCAUGAUUUAUGACAAUUUAUAUUAUGAAUUCAAUUCUUGUGCCCUAGAUGCAAGAUACGCAUAAACUUCAAGUAAUACUCAUUAAUGGUUCCACUAGAUUGUGGAUUUAUCACUACUAAUCGAAAGUUUUUUAUUCUCUAGUGCCACUUCAGGAGGCAUUUUGGACAGAGCCAUUGAAGCGGAGGACAAAAAGCAUGGAGAUUUCUUGAGGCUGGUAGGAGUUUUUAUCCGACUUUCCUUUCUUCUAUCCUUUUUCUAUGGUACAUUUGUUUGCUGUAUACAAAAGUACGGUCAAGAAAUGAAAGAUAAAAUGAAUUGUUACAUUUUUUAUUCUACCGUAUGAACAGGAUCAUGUUGAAGGAUACCUCGAAUUGUCUGCCAAGACAAAAAUAUAUUUUGCUACUGCAGUUGCUUUAUGGGAUGCAGAUUUCUAUGUCAAAGUUGAUGAUGAUGUCCAUGUGAAUAUAGGUACAAAAAUGUACUGUUUACUGUCCUCUUAUUAAUGGUAUGAAGUAUUAAUCUGAAGAAUCUAAAUUGGUACUUUUGCCUAGUUGAAAAUUAGAAAAUCAGAAAACCAUUAGUGAAGAUCAAUUUUAUAUAUAGUUUUUCUUCAUCUGAAAAAAAUGAUCUUUAGCUUUUGAUUGCUCGAGCAUGUGAAAAUUUGCAAGAAUGAUUUUUUCUUUUUCUAUAUUCAUACAAAUUCAUGUAAAAUCAAGUCCAUUUCUUCUUAACUUGAUGCAGCGACACUUGGAGAAACUUUAGUUAGACAUAGAAAGAAAUCACGGCUAUACAUUGGAUGCAUGAAAUCUGGUCCUGUCCUUAAUCAAAAGUAAGUGAGAUUUUUUGGUCUGUCAGAAGAAUUUUUGAGAAGGUAGAUUCUAAGAUCGCUCAUUUCAAUGAACAGGGGAGUAAGAUAUCAUGAACCUGAGUUCUGGAAAUUUGGGGAGGCAGGAAACAAGUACUUCCGCCAUGCUACCGGACAGCUAUAUGCCAUUUCUAAAGAUUUGGCUACAUAUAUAUCAAUAAACCAGUAAGUUAUAUUUCAUUUAAAACUUAAGAUGGAAGCUUAUGAGCAGAUGCUUAGGUCUGUCUAUUUGAUGUUCUGUUCUUGAAUUAUGAUGUCACUUGUGGACAUAAUUAUGCCAGGCAUGUUCUGCACAAGUAUGCUAACGAGGAUGUUUCAUUGGGGUCUUGGUUUAUUGGACUUGAUGUGGAGCACAUUGACGAUCGGAGACUUUGCUGUGGCACCCCACCAGGUAAAUUCAAUAAAUUACCUGGAUAUUUGAAAAGUAUAGUUAUUAUUUAAUUCCUAAACUAGGCUUUUCUUUUUACCUUCAUGCUGAAGAAUAGUAGUUCCUAUGUCUUACUUUAGCAGGGCUUAAGCCUCUUUCGCAUCCAUUUUUACUUGCAAAAUUUUUCCUUGACAGUUCAUACCAGAAACUGAAUUGACUGAGUAGCACAUUGAUGUGAUUAUUUGUUUAUAACUUUUAGUGGAAGGUCAAGAGAAGUUAUCAAGUUCAUUCCUUUAAAGCUUUCGUAAAACUAAUACCUUGCAAAUAAUGAUUUUAUGGUACUCUCAUGGGGCCCAUUUGUGCUUUAACCAUUAAAUUAAGGAUACUUAUUCUGCAUACUGACAAUUAUCCUACUACACCACAGCAUUUGAAUUGAAGUGAAAUAUCCUCUUGCGGUCUUUUAUCAACAUUUUCAUUUCUAGCUUAUUUUCCUUUUUGAGAGUUUUUGCUAUAUAUGAUUUAUAUAUGUAUGUUUCCAAGUACAUGUAUACAUAUAUCUGAUGAAAUAUAUUUGACCGCACAUAUAGACUUGGAUGAGAGCCAAAAGUCAAGAUUGAGUCAGCAUCAACUUUUCUCAAGUACUGAUAGAGUCUAUUCAAAUAGUGAAUUCUGAAUUUGUUACGCAAUUACUGCAGAUUGUGAAUGGAAAGCGCAGGCUGGCAACAUUUGUGUUGCUUCUUUUGAUUGGAGCUGCAGUGGAAUUUGCAGAUCUGCCGAUAGGAUUAAGGAGGUCCAUAGGCGGUGCGGAGAAGGUGAGAAUGCUUUGUGGAGUGCAACAUUUUAAGAGUUCUUUUGAGUCUUCCAAACUUAGGAGGAUCAUAAGCUAGUGUUAAAGAAUGAGCGUGCGGGUCUUUUUCUGUAUUAUUUUUGAGUAUAGAAAGAAAUGGAAUAUUACACGAGUAGUGCUAGAGAGACACGGAGAGAGUGAGCGCACAUCCGCGUGCGUGAAAGAGUGAAGAGGAAGAGUGACCCCUUGCUGUGUGGAUCUUUUCCAUUUUAGUAUAAGGAAAUAGAACCACAUUGAUGGGCAAGGAAAACAGGCAAAAUGCUGUCACCAUUCAACCAUUCUUUGAUGCUUAGAAAGCCAAUUUGUAAGUUAACAGUUCUAUGGCUAUCAAGCUAAUAAUAAAUACAAAUUCUUCUGGUAUUUCCCUUCUUUUCUUUUGAUUUUUACUCAUCCGUUUUGCUAUUACCUUGUCUGAUUCUACAUCUAUGCAAAUUAUAUCAUGGCUCCAUGUCAAUGCAACAAUGUGGACCUGAAUUAUUUAACACGUGUGGUUGAUGACUAAAUUUAUAAGAUUUUGUUUUAAGAUCGGUGUUUGUACUAAAAUGUGUUUUUUCUUUUGUUUGCUUUCUUAGUCUUUUGCAUAAUAAAAUAGUUGUCUCGAACUAGUUAAUUAUAAAUCUUACAAUAUAAUUUUAUAUUUGAUAUUUGGUAAAUUAAUAAUUUUAUUAAGUAUUACAUUUCAUUAAAUAUUGAUUAUUUUAUUAUUUAAAAAUUAGUAAUUUUGUUAGUAGUUGAUUAUAAUAAUAAUUUUAGUAUAAUAAAAAUUAAUAGAAAUAAUAAAGAAUUAAAAUUUUAUUUGCUUAAAAUUUUUUUAAUGCAUUUUUUAUUUACAAAUCCUAACAUUUUUUAAUAUUUUUUUUAUUGACUUCAAGGAUGGUUCUAUUUUUUUUAUAAAAUAACAUAUUCUUUUUUAUAUGACAUUAAAUUUUCACCGCCACACAUAUUCAUUAGGUUUAUUAGACAUAAAUUGUAAGUUCAUUAGACAUAAAUAUUAGAUUCAUUGAUAGUACAAUGUAGGUUCAUUAAAGAUUUACUCUUAAAUAUAGUUAUAAAUAACAAGAUCAUUAAGCAUUAAUUGUUGAUAGGUUCAUCAAAUAUAAAGUGUAUAGUUCUAAAAUGCAAAUCCAUUAAUUAAAAUAUGAAUUGUUUUUUAAAUUAUAAAUUUCUAAACUAUAAUCUAUGAAUAUUAGGUGUACGUACGAUGAACUUAGUUUAUAAAUUAUAAAUUUUUUAUUUUGAACCUAUCAAUCUGUAUAUUUUUAUAAACUUCUUGGAUAUUAUAUAUGAACUUCAAGUAUACUUGAAAUAAAUUUAAAAUUGCUAACUUACGAACUUGUAGUUUUAUAAUAUAAAAUUUUCAAUGUAAUUUUUAUUUAUAAAUUUUAACACUUUUUAGUAUUUUUUUAAUAAUUUCACAAAUAAUUCUAUUUUUUUUAUAAAAUAUCAUAUUUAUUUUUUAUAUGACAUUGAAUUUUUACUGUCGCGUAUAUUUAUUAAGUUUAUUAGAUAUAAAUUGUAGGUUCAUUAGACAUAGAUUUUUGGUUCAUUGGUAGUAUAAUGUAGGUUCAUUGAAGAUUUAUUGUUAAAUAUAGUUAUAAAUAACAAAACUAUUAAGUACUGUUUAUAGGUUCAUCAAAUAUAAGGUACGUAGCUUCAUCAGUUCUAAACUAUAAAUUCAUCAGUUAAAAUAUGAAUCUGUUUUUCGAAUUAUGGAGUUUUAAACUAUAAUCUAUAAAUAUCAAGUAUCUGUGUGAACUUAUAGUUUAUAAACUAUAAAUAUUUUGGUUUUAACCUAUGAAUUUGUAUAUUUUUAUGAACUUUUUGGAUAUUAUAUAUGAACAUCAAGUAUACUUGUAAUAAACCUAUAGUUUACAAUUUAUAAACCUGUUGUUAACUUACGAGCCUAUAGUUUUAUAAUUUAAAAUUUUCAAUAUAAUUUUUAUUUACAAAUUUUAACAUUUUUAAUAGUUUUUUAAUGACUUCAAGGAUAGUUCUAUUUCUUUUAUAAAUUAUCAAAUUUAUUUUUUAUAUGAUAUUAAAUUUUCAUUGUCAUGCAUAUUCAUUAGGUUAACUAAAUAUAAAUCAUAGGUUAAUUAGACAUAAAUUGUAGGUCCAUUAAACAUAAAUUGUAAGUUCAUUGGUGGUACAAUAUAGGUUCAUUGAAGAUUUACUCUUAAAUAUAGUUAUAGACAAUAAAAUCAUUAAGUAUUACUUAUAGGUUUAUUGAAUAUGAAGUGUAGAUUCAUUAGUUCUCAACCAUAAAAUCAUUAGUUAAAAUAUGAAUUUAUUUUUCAAAUUAUGAAUUUUUGAACUAUAAUCUAUGAAUUUCAGGUGCACGUGUGAUGAAUGUAUAGUUUAUAAAUUAUGAACAUUUUAUUUUUAACUUAUAAAUCUGUAUAUUUUUAUAAACUUCUAGGAUAUUAUAUAUAAACUUCAAUUAUACUUAUAGUAAACUUAUGGUUUAUAAUUUAUGAAACCUGUUGUUCGUUACGAAUUUGUAAUUUUAUGAUUGAUGUUUAAAGAUUUUACUAAGAAAUUUAUGUUCAUAACAUAUGAUGGUGCAUUGUAAUUUGUAAUUAUGAAUAAAAAAUUAUUAAUUAUUAUAUUCUAUUACUAUUAUUAUUAUUAAAUUUUAAAAUCAAAAUAUUAUUAUGUAAUAUUGUUAAUAAAGUUUAUAUAUGUAUAAAAUUUCACUUUAACAAUUACACCGAAGAAGAGUAAUGAAGAAAGCAUGAUAAUUUGCAUUACUCUGUUCAUUAUUUUAUUGCCAAGUAGAAGCUCUCUCUUAUUACACUUACAACACAUGAGACCAUCCAUCAAAGUCUCAUUUUUGUCUUUCCGGACAUUGCAUUGACCUACGCAUAAUCCAUAGAAAAAGGGAAAAGAAAAGAAAAAGGGCUGCAUAUGCCUUUGUCGAUACAUAGCUUAAGCAUCAUAAUGCCUUCUUCCUGACUGGAACCUUGAGCUACCUAAGGUUGUUUCCUCUCUAGCAAACUUGAUUCUCCUUGCCUCUUCUAUCGACACCCGGAAUGCAUUGGCAAUCACCUCCACUGGCAUGCCGCGAACAGCAGAAGAGCGGCCGGAAAGAUCAGAGGUCAUGGCAUUGUCGUUGGUCUUGAACGCGACGUAUUCGAAUCUGUCACUCUCUGAUCGUUUCACCACCACAAAGUUCUGUGGCACGGUCAGGACCUGUCCUUCUCUUACAUUUCCAUCGAACACACUGUUGCCGUUCUCAUCCACCACCUGAAUCCUUGCUUGACCCUUCACGGCAUAGAUUACGCUGUGGGCAUUUAUGUGCCAGUGGGGUAACCUCACAGCAUCCUGCCAGGAACAUAUCAAUCAUUAUAAAUUGUGGAAGCGCUUCAUUAUAAUUAGAAUCAAAGGAGCAUUGAUGACUUACAUUGCGAAGAACGACAUGGGAAGCACUGAGUUGGAGCCAUCGCAGAAUAGGGAGGUUGUGGCUGUUGACAGUGCUAACACGGCCAACUUCUGGGACAAAUAUAUCAGAGCGAGAGGGAUCAGCAAUGUUCUCUUUCAUUCUCAUGGUGCAAAAUGUCUCCUCAACGCCAUUGUAACGUCCUGGUCGGCCUUCUUGCUCUCUCUCUCGUUGUUCCUCUCUCUCUUGUUGAGACCGGGGUGGCCUGACUACCAGAAGCCUACCUUCUACAUUCACAAUGCUGCCUCUGAAGUCAUUUUGGCCUUGAAGCUUCCUAGCCAACUGCUCGUCCACGUUGAAAGCUUCGGCAAGGACUCUUGAGUCUAUUCCGCAGAAAAGAUUGUUGCACGAAACAUGUGGUGGCCGACUUGGACGGCGAGCAAAUUGAUGCUGGCCGCGCUCAUAGUCGCCGCGUGGAAGUUGAGGGAACUCAUCUUCUGUGUUGCCAGCUAGAUAGAAGUUCUGUUAACAAGUUCAAGAAAAACCAUAAAAUGUGAAUUAACGCCUAACAAACACCUGACCAUACAGACACGCGUAGGUAGGCAUAUGUUUUUGAUUCUUACUCUGGGGUUCCUGUCAAGCUGGUUGCCUAUGUUGGCAGUGUCAAGGACAGAAAUAGUAACGACAGGCUCAUUGCCGUCGUUGUAGCACCAGUGGGCUACUCCAGCAGGCAAAGCAAUAACAUCGCCCUUACGGAAAUGACGAAUCUUCUGGUGCUGAUCACGAACUCUGCUGCUGCCACCUGAUUGCUGAGACUCUUGGAGUGUUUCAGCACAUCCCAGGAGCAAGACCCCUGUCAUUCCUCUACCUGUAUAUACACAAAUUAAUCAUCUCAUAAUCCAAAAUUCCAAGCACAUUAACUCACAUAUACAGCUUGAAUAUAUAAUUGCAGCUUUUGAAUAUUUAAUUUUACCCUGGACAAUGUAUAAGAGUUGAGGAGCAUUGCUAUAGGAUGGCAAUAGAAGGCCAUUGGGAUGAAUGGUACGUCUAACAACAGCAACACCAGCGCAUUGGAACUGAUCACGGUUAGGAUUCCACGACUCAACCAAACCAGCUUCGGUCUGAAUACGUUUAUCGGGUUCGAGGGCAUAGAGUUUAUUGAGUUGGCACCCAUUACCCUGCUGAAAUUCACGGCGAGCUAGAGAGCCAUGGAAGAGAACAAGUAGGAAGAAAGAAAGAGAGAGCAGCGAAGAAGGCUGAACCAUAGUGGCAGAGAGGAGGGGAUAGGUGGUUCUGGGAUGGAAGUGGCGAAUGGAAGGGGUUGGUAUUUAUAGAGGAAGAAGGAGAUGCAAAAGAAAGAUGAUCGUAAGGUUUCUUUGGUCACUCUCUUUGAUUUGCAUGGCUACUUCAUCUUAACUUCUUACACCUAAUAAAGUCAGAUAGGGCAGGUGUAUCAAAACUCCAUAGAAGAAUACAAAAGUUUGUGAAUGGGGAAAAAGAAAAAAGAAGAAGACAACAUUGGAUUGCAAAAACCAUUACCACAACACCAAAAAGUGAUCAAGUGUCUAAUAACUAUGGUUGAAAUUUAGCAAUUGAAGUGUCAUGUAGGCAUAACUAUGGUUGAUUUAGUACUUUAACUCGAUGUUUGAUCUUUAACGUCCAAGUAAAGAGAGGUUAGGGACAAAUGUUAGAUUUCUUUUCUUCUUUUGCAUUUAAUAUAACGCUCUUUUGCAUCUCCAUGCCCAAUUGUUUAAAUCACACAUACAGAAGAUGAUCUAUCCAGUGGAGUCAAUGUUUGAUCUAUUUCGUUAUAUUUACAGAUUGAUAAUUUAAUAUACUUUACUUAAACAUAUUUUGUUGUCUAUAAUAUUUACUUAAACAAAUCUCAUACUAUAAUUCAAACUGUAUGAUACUUUACUAGUAAUACUUUAAGAACACAAAUCCUAUAUAUAUACACUUAAAACUCUUAUUAAUUCGAAAAGAUAUACACUUGCUCAAAUAACCCUAGCUAGUUGUAACCAGAGUUACAACCACAUAGAUGCCAACAAAUAAAGACCAGCCUGGAGGGCAAUUAAUGACCAUCGUCCCCUAAAUGUCCCUUCAGGUACCAAGUCUGUCUAAGCUUCAACAUUAAUGGGUGUUAAACCCUCAUAAUCUUUGUUCUGUUUAUAGUAAGUAUCACUGUUGGUCCUUCAUAAGAUUUCUUCAAUCUAACCACCUCCUUAUCCUCUAAUAUUUUUUCUCUUUUUAAAAAAAAUAUGUAGUUCUUUUGUUUAGCUUUGAAUUUAUUUGGUGCAUGGCUUAGAAAGAAAUUAAGAUUAGUAAAUGCAAGUAUUGAUCCUCUGUCAUUUCAGGACUAUGAGAAUUAAUUGACGCAGCGGCAGUAGUUUCUUUUGUUUUUUCGUUGUCUCCCUCUCUUUGUUCUUGUUAAUGCCGAAUUAAUUCACGAGGUUAUUAUAGUUAAAUAUGAUAUCAAGUGAAAAAUAAAAGUAGAAAAACAAAAGCAAAAUGACCAUAGAAGCUGGUAGAUGGAAGAAGAGUCAAGAAAGCAUGGUGAACGCAUCACUUGCAUUCUCUACUACAAAUCCAGUUAUCGGUGACAAUUUUGUUUCUGCCACCAGAAUAAUUGUCACAAAUACAACAUAAUAUGUGACAUUACAUUUUAGGAUUAAGUAUUAUUUAUCGCUGCAGUUUGGUCUAAUACACAAAUUGAUUCUUAUAUUUUUUUAUUAUAUUAAAAUUUAGAACGUUUAAAUCAAAAAAAUUUACCCUAAAAACUUUUUCAGCGCAAAUAUAUAGUUAAAUUAUUUAAAAUACGUAAUCUAAACCCACAUUUAAUAAAUAACUUUUUAUUUUAGCUUAUGUGGCUAAUAGUAGACCCAUUAAAAACAUUAAAAAUAUGAAAAAAAGAAUAUUUAGAUCCAAAUUGAGAUAGUGAUCACGGUUCAAUUAACUGAAUCGUCGGCCAUUUUUAAGAACUUAAUAUAUAUAUCAAUUUUUAAAUUUAUGAACCUUAAAUCUAAAAUAUUAAUAUUGGCUAACCUGUAUUUACAGUACGGUUAACCAGAUUUUUAAUUUUUAAUAAAUAUUAAAUUUUAUAAUUUUUUUAAUAAAUUUUUAAUAUUUUAGCAUCCUUUUUCUUUCCUCAAUUAAUAAAUUAAUAAUAACAACGAUAAUAAUAAUAUAAUUAAUAUACUAUUUUUUUAAAAUUAGACUUAUUUUUUAAUAAGAAUUUUUUACUAAUUAAUAUAUUAAAUAUAUUUAUAUAAAUUAAUACUUCAGUAAUUUAUUAACUAAUUUAUUAAUUAAAUCUAUAUAAGCUAAUAUUAAAUAUAUAAUGGAUACAAGCAUUCCACAUAAUCAAUAAUUAUAAUAAAUAUAAUAAUUCUAUAUAUAUAUAUAUAUAAUUUCAGUGGUUAACUAAAACGUUGGUCUUUUAAUAUAGAGAAUCGAAACUAAAAUUGAAAACUGAAAAUUUCUAAAAUGAAAAAUAAAGUUGAAACGUUGGUUCAGUUAAUUUAUUUUAUCAAUUUAAUUUUUUUUUUUUUAUUCAGACAGAAUUCCUUCGAUUUUUUUUAUAUCACCCCUAGUGGUGAUAUGCCCUCUCUCUAUUUACUGUGUGAGUCGAUAUUUUAACAUUCCUUUUAAAUUAUUAUAUAUAUAUAUAUAUAUAUAUAUAUAUAUAUAUAUAUAUAUAUAUAUAUAUAUAUAUAUAUAUAUAUUAUAUUAAUUUUUGAAAUAAGUUUUGAAAUAAGUUUUAAUAUAUUUAUAAAUUCUAUAAUACAUUGUUAGAAGUUAUAUUAUUGAUAAAAUCAUAAUUCAGUGAUGGUUCAAGUUAAAUAUAUAUAAUAUUAUAUAAAAGAAUAAAAGUAUAAAUAUGUGUAUUANNNACAUAUAUACCUCAAGUUAAAAGUGCUAAACUUUUAUUAAUUUGACUGAAUUUGAUAACUUGAUACAGAAUGGGAUUAUGGUUGUCAUAGAAGCAACUAAUUCUUUUGUAAAUUUUGAAAUGGCAGAGAAAGGAAAAGGAAAAGAAGAAAGAAGAAGAAAAAGUAGGAGAAGGAAGAGAGAUAAAAGAGAAAAGUGGUAUUUUUUGAAAGUAAUUACUAUAUAUCUUUCAUAUUUUUUUUAUAUUACACUACUUACUCCUUAAUAUUUAAGAUUAGAUUUUUUUAUUUUUCUAUUUUAUAAUUUUAUAUUAAAGUCUAUUUUAUCGGAAUUUCUGCUAAAGAAUUGUUAACUAGGUUUAGUUUUAUACUAUUUGUCCACUAUGUUUUUUGUGUAAUAUACAUGCCUCCUUUAUUUUAUUUAUUGUAUUAAUUUUUUUUUUUGUAUUUUAAAAAUCAAUGCAAUUAAAAGACUAAAUUGAUAAAAAAAUAAUUUAAUUUUUAAAUUUUUUAUCAAAGUUAUGAUUUUAGUGUAACAAAAUUAAUAUUAAGGAUAAUAUCUAUUUUAUUUUAAUAAUUUAAAGUUAAAUUAUAUAAUUUUUUAAUAUUUUGAUAAAUAUAAUUAUUUUUAAAACACUUAAAUUUUAUUAGAGUUUAAUUAUGCCAAAAUUAGAGUAAUUAAAGAACACUAGUUAAUUAUUUGUGUACGAACACAACUUGAUUUUUACAUAAAAGUUAGACAAGAGAAUUCUAGUGUAACAAAUAAACUAUAAGGGACAUGUGUAUAUUACAUAAAAGAUCAAGGGGCAAAUGACAAUUGUUUAACAGAAAGUUUGACCAAAAGAAUUUUUAGUAUAAAAUAGAGAGAUGAAAUAUAUAUUUAUUAAAUAUUAAGAGGUAAUUAAUAUGAAAAUUUAUAAAGACAAAUAGUAAUUACAAAUGAAUGAGAAUUGUAUACAUUAAACCACCAUUAGCCACAUCAACACUAUUAAUUUCUCUGUUAUGUUGAGAGGUUUGAAUUGGAGGCUUCUACAAUUUAAGGGUAAAUAUGCUAUUCUCACCAAAUAUUAGCAGCAAAAAUGCACAUUUUCCUCUACUUUUAACUGGUCACUAUAUUAAAUUAAUUUUAUACUAAAAACUUCUUUUGUUAAAAUUUCUAUUAGGAAAUCGUUAAUUAGGUUUGGUUUUAUACUUUUUUUUUUUGUAAUAUACAAAUUGCACAUGUAUUUUAUUUUUACACUAAAAUUUCCUUGUAGUUUGAAAGUCAACGUAAUUAAGGAUCUAAAUUGAUUAAAAAAUAUAAUUUGAUCCUCAAACUUUUUAUCAAAGUUAUAAUUCUACUGAACAAAAUUAAUAAUAAUAAUAAUACUAUCUAUUUUAUUUUAACAAUUUCAAAUUAAAUUAUAUGAAUCUUCAAUAUUUUAAUUAAUAUAAGUACUUUUAAGAUAUUUAAAUUUUACUAAAAUUUAAUUAUGCUAAAGUUAGAAUAAUUAAAGAACACUAAUUAAUUGUUUUCGUACAGACACUAAAAUUAAUUUUUAUAUAAAAAUUAGACAAGAGAAUUUUAGUAUAAGGUCAAUUUGUAUAUUGCACUAAAGAUUAAGGAAAAAAUAGUAUAAAACUAAAUUUAGUUAACGGUUGGUUAACAAAAAUUCUAACCAAAGGGGUGUUACACAUGGUGCCCUUUCCUUAGCUUCCUUAAUCACACAAAUAUUUUCCUAAUCUUAAAAACAAAAGAUCCUAAGACAAUGAAAGAGUCCAAACCCAUCAGUCUCUGCAAUGUGUUUUAUAAAACUGUGUCUAAAGUGAUUACUAAUAGAACCAUGAAAGUACUACCUAGUGUUAUUUCUCAAACUCAAAGUGGCUUUGUGCAGGGGAGAUUGAUUACAUAUAAUAUUCUUAUUGCUUUUGAGUUCUUUCAUCACAUGAAAUGAAAUGCAUGAACAAAGGUAAAAAAAAAGUCAGAUGGCUCUAAAACUUAACACGACUAAAGCAUAUGAUAGGGUUGAAUGAAUUUUACGGAGAAAGUUAUGCAUAAUAUAAGAUUUCUUGUUGCCUUGAUUGAGCUGACCAUGAAGUGCAUUAGAUUUGUUUUUUUUACUGUCAUGAUUAAUGGCUUUUUUCAUGAUUUCUUUAAGCCCUAAGAAGGGAAUAAGACAUGGCGAUCCUCUAUCCUCCUUAUCUAUUUAUAAUGUGUGUUGAGGCUUUUUUAGGAUUGCUUUAUAAUGCUGAGAGGGACGAGAAAACUCAUGGUGCUUGAGUUGCUAGAGUUGCUCUCACCAUAUCUCAUUUAUUUGUUGCAAAUGAUUCAAUAGUCUAUGCUAGAGCAAUUCAAUAGGAAGGGGAAUCCAUUAUGUGAUACAAACCAAACUAGCACAACGAAUCCUACUCUAACAAAGAGUCUUGAUGAUGCAAACCUUACUAGCUCAAGGAAUUCUAAUCCAAUAAGGAGUCCUGACUCAACUGGGAAUCCUAAUCCUGUAAGGAGUCCUGAUAAUAUUAGGAGUUCAAGAAUCCUAAUUCGGAGUUCAAGCAAUAAAAAGAAUCCUAAUUCAACUAGGAGUCAUAGUUCGAUUGAAAUUGCAAGUCAAUGAGCUUAUCGAAGUCAUUUUGGCUAAGGACACAUCAAGACUUAAAAAAUUGGAUUUAAGUUCAAGGCUUGUUAAUCUAAUUCAGUUUAUUGGACUUGAAUGAAUUUAAUUGGCUUAAAAUGACCAAAAGAAGUUGAAUUGGAGCAUAUGACAACUCUGGGCCUAACUUGGCUUAUGUUAUGAGGCCCAUCUAUAUGACUUAUGUAAAUUAGGAUUUUAUGGCUUAUUUUGGGUGGCCACACAUGUAUUUUAACAUAAUUAGAACUUUGUUUAAGUUAUCUCUUUUAGUUAGGAAGGUUAUAUUUAUCCUAGAUUAGAUGUAAAUCCUUAUUAGUGGUUAUAUUUAUUCUAGAUUAGAUAUAAAUCCUUAUUAGUUAAGUAAGAGUUCUAUUCUUACUAAGACUUUGGAUAUGUCUUUAAAGCAUGUCAAAUUCGUAUGCCUUUGGCAGAUUAUAAUUAAUUACAGUUUUGUACUUCCUUUCAAAUCAAAAUUACUUGUAUCUUGUGUACUUAUUGAAUGUAAAACUUACUUAUCAAGGAGUUGAUAUAUCUUUGUGGCGUACUUAGGAUUGGGGUUUAAGGGAUUUAGUUUUCCUUAGGUUCUAAUUUUUUAUUAUCUUUCUAAGAGAUCUCUCUUCUAAUCUUUCUUAGAGGUUAAACCGAAUUGGUUCUUGGAGUUUUUAUGUUAAUAUGUUGGGGGUCUGCAAUUCAAAAGUAUUAGAGGGCAUCUGGUCUGGUGAUAAACUUAGAGAAUUCGGUGGUGGUGUUUAGCAUUAAUGUGAGCAUGGUUAGCAGGCACCAAAUUAGCAAUUGCUUGGGAGUCCAGCUUGUGAGUAAAUUUGAUAAGUAUCUUGGAUUACCUACAGAGCUAGGGAAAGUAAAGAAGCAGAUUUUUGGGAUGCUGUCUGAUCGGGUUUGGAAGAAAUUAUGUAGAUGAAAUUAGAAUGCCUUGUCACGACCCCACCCGUGGGCCCGUGACCGGCACUAGGGAAUGGGUAAAGAGGUAAAAAUUUUGAGAAAGAAAGAUUAAGGUCCCUGGUCGAGCAUUGCUCUCGGGGCGCCAGUCUUAUUGGAUUAAGAGAGCCGAAUGGCUACUAGAUUUCUUAUUUGGAUAUUUAAGUGACCAGACUGGAGGUAAGGUCCCUGGUCGAGCUUUGCUCUCGGGGCGCCAGUCUUAUUGGAUAAGAGAGCCAAAAGGCUAAGGCUGAGAGUUAAGUGACCGGACUGGAGGUAAGGUCCCUGGUCGAGCUUUGCUCUCUAGGCCCCAGUCCUGUUGGAAUGAGAGGUUUGAGAUGUUAGAGUUGAGGUUAGUUGAGACAUAAGUGUUGAAAUAAUCGAGAUUUUAGAGUUGGGAUUAGAGUUCUACUGAAGUACUCUGUCCCGUUGCAUGUGGAAUAAAUUUUGUUUAAGCAUGGCAUGACACGUAUGGUUCGCGUGAUUUACUAAUUAUUUUAAAAUUAAAUGAAUGUGACAUUGAGAUAUUUGAAACUGUUUUAGAUAUAUGAUUUUAACUCACUCUCGAGACUGACAGUCUCCAUUUAUGUUGUUUUUCAGAUUCGUGACUGUUAGUUCUCUCGCGACUCUUAUUCAGUAACCCGACUCCUUCAUCAUCGGGUGAAGUAUUUGAUUUGGUAUGUAAAAUGGUAAAUCUUAGAUUCUCCGCAGUAGUAAAUAGUAGAUGUAUCAGUUGUAAAUUUUCUGAGCUUCGGGUCUCGCCUAGUUUUUCUGGUAGACCGAAGUAAUUUUGUAAAGUGUAACUAUUAAGAUAAAUUGUGACUUUAAUAAUAUUAAUUUGAGAUGAGAUUUGUUUAAAUCAGUGAGUGUCAGGCUUACUACGGGUUUCGGUGGCCUUAAGCCUACCCAUUCCCUAGUGCCGGUCACGGGCCCACGGGUGGGGUCGUGACAAAGUUGGUAUCAGAGCUUAGGUUUAGAUUUCCUUCGACCUAAGUUAAGAUUUUUCUUGGUACUGCGGAGUUAGGAUCAUGUCUGUCUUGUUGUUUUCAUUGACUCCAGUGUUUCAGCCUUCACUGUUAGAGAGUCAGUCUUUCCUUUCUUGUAAGCUUGUCUUUGGUGCUGUGCUGAGAAUGAGCUUGUAGCGAUGGGAAGAUCCAGAGCGCGAUAGACUCGUGCUGUUUCUUCAAGUGAUUAGUGCAGUCCGCCUUUAGAAGAUUUGAUUGUUGUUUCGAUGGUGGGCACCGCAGUCAGUUUUAGUGUAGAGCGUGGUUGCAAUCGUGUCAUGGAUUGUCUCGUCAUUGCAUCAGGCAUCGUCUUAUUGAGUAGCGCCGAAAGUAGUGCCUGGGAAGUCGAGUAGAUGUCAGAGCUCUAUGGUUGAGUUUUGGUGAUUGUAAGAAGCUUAAGAAAGGUAGCAGGAGUAUUUUCGGACGCUCAUAAUCCAGAGAAACUUAAGCGAACAUUAUCUAUUUUUCUAAGUAGAACAAGUGUUUUAAAAUACAAUAUUGCGCCCAGUCCCGUAAGAAUGCAUAUGGCAUUUCACUGUUAGGCAUACAUAAAUUCAUUUUAGGACAUGCAUCAUACAUUGUGCAUUGCAACCCUUGGUGAUAGGGGGCAUCAUCACCCUGGCGCGCGAUAUUGUAGAAUUUUAUAUAAAGAAAAAUGGCUAGAGAUUUUACGAUUUUGUAAAAGUAUUUUUCAAGAUAAUAAAGUUUUUAUCAGUGAUGAUUAUAAAGUAAAUAAAUAAGUAAAUUUUUUCAAAGUAAAUAGUGUUAGCUUGAGAAUUCUCUGGAUGACGAGUUGAGUUGCUGAGAGAGUAAGUCUGUGGAGCUGUAGGCCCCAUGUUAGAUUAUAAGGGAGGCUUUUGGAUUUCAGUCAAGGAGGAAUCUUGUGUCAGGAUGGCAUGGGUUAUGUCGGUUGAUGCGAUCAGAUGGAUGUUAUGUCAUAAGUGAUGUGACUCGGUAAGAAAAUAAGGUUAUGGAGACCCUUGGUUUUGUCGGCAGGUUGGUGAGGUGGCAUGUAAGUUGGACUUGCCGCCAAGUAUUAGUAAUGUUCUCUGAGGUCAAAUCCAGUUGUUUGUAAGUCUGAGUUGAGGAAGUAUAUUUUCGAUCCUUUGCUCGUGUUGGAUCCUCAGUGUGUGAAUUUAAGUGAAGAUUUGGUUUCCGAGAAGUAGUAAGUGAGGAUCGUGGAUUUUCAGGUUCGCCAGUUUUAUUUAAGGGUUUUGUCGAUGAGUCUUGUGGUUUAGUUUAGUUUCUGCCGAGGAAAGUUCUCUAGAAGCCGGGUUGGAGUUGAGAGGUUCCUAAUUAGUUUCAGUCUUAGAGUGUAGCCCCUUUUCUUUUAAAAUUCGAGGUCGAAUUUUUUUUUUUAAGGGGGGGAGAAUGUAACACCCGGAAUUUUUAUAUAUUUAAUAAUGAGUUUUUAUUUAAGUUAAUUUUAGCUUCAUUAUUAUUGGGUUUAAUUUGAAAUGAUUAUAUUUUGGUUAUUCAAAAUUUUUCCAAAUGCAUAUUUAUAUAAGUAAAAUUAUAUAUUGAAAAAUUUUGGAAGAAAUUAUAAGGGAUGUUUUUAUAAAAGAAUUUUGAGAAAAUUGGUAUUAUAAUUGAUUAGUAGUAUUAAAUUUUAAGUUGGAAAUUGAUUAUUUAAUUUAAUUGUGUGUAGGAUUUAAUUGGAAAUUUAUUUUGGAAUAAGGAUUGAAAGUAUAAUGUUAUUUUUAUGGGGUUUUAAUGGAAAUUUGUGAGCUUGGUAUUUUUGUAAAUAAAUAUGUCGGUCAGGGGUAUUUUUGUAAUUGUGUAUUUUCAAUAAUUCGGAUUUGGCCCAAAUUAAAUAGUUAGGGGCUUAAUUGAAAGGCUAAAAAGAAGUUUGGGGGUCAAAUUGGAAUUCUGCAGGAUGAAAUUGUAAGUAAUUAAGAAAGUUGAGGGACGAAAUUGUAAUAAGGAAAAGUUCAAGGGUCAAAUGUCGAUAUUGAAAGGAAUGGAAGUCGGGGAAGGAAGAGAGGAAGAGAGAGAGAGAGAGCCGAAGAAGAAGGAGGAGCUGCGGUGGCGUGCGUCGUCGGAGCGGCUUCGGAAGUGUGCGGGGCUGGCCGGCGAAGCUGCAGGCGUCAGCGGCGGCAGCGGCAGCGGCACCAGCGGGCGACGGGAGCAGCUCUCGCGCUAGGAGGAAGAUGGCCGAAGCUUCUUUGCCGCCGUGCGGGCGUUUCCGGCGUCGGUGGUCGCUGAUUUUGGUGCCGAUCGACUCCUCUCGGCCUCAGCUUUGUUUUGGCGGCAGCGGUGUCGACAGUGGUGGCCGGAAUCAGAGAUUCACGGUGGAGAGAGAAAAUGGUGGCAGCCGGCAUUUUUGGGCUUUUCCGGCGAGCUCCGGCGGAGGAUGGAUGAUCGGAGGAUGUAUCCCGACUCUCCUCAGCUCAAGCUUCGCGAUGGCACUGGUUUCGUGGCGAUCGGGCUUCGUUUGUGAAUCGACGGUCGAGAUCGUCCGCAAAUCUCUCCGGAUGAUCGGGUGUCAGAUCGGAAAAUCGGAAGCAGGGAUCGUCAUCAGCGCGUCGUUGUGAGUCUGAUGGUGUGUUCGGAUCGUCGAUCGGACUCCGGCGGCUGGAGGCGAGUCGACCAAGCGAUCGAACGUCUCGGUAAAUUUCUUUGGCCCGUUAAUUUUAGAAAUCCUUGGUUUAAUUUGUGUCUAUGGUUUAUAUUGUGUACUUGAUGAUAUUUGUGAGUCAUAAAUAUUUGUCUGUCAGUUGGCCUGCCAUAGUCGUGUUUUUGUGCUGUGUGGCGGAGUCGGGAAAUAGUGAAGUUUGGGGACCCGACUCCCGUUGUUUUAAUUGUUGGUUAUUUGGAGUGUUUUUCUGGCAGGUCCUGGACCCGUUUUUACGGGGGGUAAUGUUCGUGUUGUAGAGGAGGUUCUGCCGAAUUUUCGGUAGUUCCCAAGUCGAGAUUCUUAGACAGUUAGUUCUAGGAGUCUAGACCUAGGGUCUAUUGUAAUUGUUUCAUCGUUUUGAUAAAUUAUUUUCCGUGAUUAGAUGAUCUGUCUGUUCGGCUCGCUCCUACCGAGGCACCUAAGCUGAGCUAGGAGGUCGCAAAUCUGUGAGUAAAGUCAUAUAUCGUUUACGCACGUGUCAUGCAUAAAUUUGAUUGCUACUGUGAACNNNNNNNNNNNNNNNNNNNNNNNNNNNNNNNNNNNNNNNNNNNNNNNNNNNNNNNNNNNNNNNNNNNNNNNNNNNNNNNNNNNNNNNNNNNNNNNNNNNNNNNNNNNNNNNNNNNNNNNNNNNNNNNNNNNNNNNNNNNNNNNNNNNNNNNNNNUAUUUGGAUAUUUAAGUGACCAGACUGGAGGUAAGGUCCCUGGUCGAGCUUUGCUCUCGGGGCGCCAGUCUUAUUGGAUAAGAGAGCCAAAAGGCUAAGGCUGAGAGUUAAGUGACCGGACUGGAGGUAAGGUCCCUGGUCGAGCUUUGCUCUCUGGGCCCCAGUCCUGUUGGAAUGAGAGGUUUGAGAUGUUAGAGUUGAGGUUAGUUGAGACAUAAGUGUUGAAAUAAUCGAGAUUUUAGAGUUGGGAUUAGAGUUCUACUGAAGUACUCUGUCCCGUUGCAUGUGGAAUAAAUUUUGUUUAAGCAUGGCAUGACACGUAUGGUUCGCGUGAUUUACUAAUUAUUUUAAAAUUAAAUGAAUGUGACAUUGAGAUAUUUGAAACUGUUUUAGAUAUAUGAUUUUAACUCACUCUCGAGACUGACAGUCUCCAUUUAUGUUGUUUUUCAGAUUCGUGACUGUUAGUUCUCUCGCGACUCUUAUUCAGUAACCCGACUCCUUCAUCAUCGGGUGAAGUAUUUGAUUUGGUAUGUAAAAUGGUAAAUCUUAGAUUCUCCGCAGUAGUAAAUAGUAGAUGUAUCAGUUGUAAAUUUUCUGAGCUUCGGGUCUCGCCUAGUUUUUCUGGUAGACCGAAGUAAUUUUGUAAAGUGUAACUAUUAAGAUAAAUUGUGACUUUAAUAAUAUUAAUUUGAGAUGAGAUUUGUUUAAAUCAGUGAGUGUCAGGCUUACUACGGGUUUCGGUGGCCUUAAGCCUAUCCAUUCCCUAGUGCCGGUCACGGGCCCACGGGUGGGGUCGUGACAUGCCUCAUCAAAAGCUAGCAAAGCAGCGUUGAUAAAAGCUAUGGUGCAUGCGAUGCCUACCUACACUAUCUGGUGCCAAAAACCAUUUGUGACAGAGUACAAGCUUUUAUUGAAAAGGGAUAAGCGACUCCACUAGCUUAGUUUGGAUAAUGUCUACAGCUCUAAGAAACAUGGGGGUCUUGGUUUUAGGAAUUUAGAGUUGUUCAAUAAAGCCUUCCCAUCAAAACAAGGGUGGAGACUCAUGAAAGAUGAAACAUCACUGGUGGCUAGAACUCUGAAGGCGAAACAUUAUCCAAGGUUAGAUUUUCUUAACGCCAGAAAAGGGCCUCGAAGUAGUUUUACUUGGCAAAAUAUUUUUGUUGGCCAAGAUUUGGUAAGACGUGGAACUCAUUUAGAUAGUGGGUAAGCUCACAGCAUUAGAGUUUUUGAGGAUGGAUGGUAAGCAAGAUCUGAUUCUUUUAAAGUAUGGACAUCGAGGAAUGGUAUGGAUGUUGAGCUAAGGGCACAGGACUUAAUGAAUGAGACGUAGAGAGUGGAAUAACACGUUCAUUGACUUAAACUCUGUUCCCCUUCCCCAAGAUGCGUGCAAAUCAAAAAAAUCCAAUUAGCAAAUUCUAUUAAGAGACUUUAAAGUGGCAAGAGAGGUGUGGUUUGCAUCUUGUUUGGGAUUGAAUGUGCAGGGAUUUAUUGAUGCAUCACUAUGUGUUGGUUUGAGUAUAUUUUGAGGCACUUGGACGAGGAGGUGUUUGGGUUUAUUUUGCUUAUUUUUUGGGCUUCGUGGUACCCUAGGAAUGUAUUUAUUUUUUAGCAGAAACCCAUGACCUGUAGCAAAAUUCUCAACUUGAGUUAUAAAGUGCAUGCAGACAUCGCCAUCGCCAUCGCUAAUGGAAGUCAUGAGCAGAGCCGGACAACUGUUUCGCCGAUAUGGACAAGGCCAGUUGGAGAGAGACAUAUUUGGAUGGAGGAAGUGCCCAGAGUGCGUAAAACAUAUUUUGGCUGAUGCCUUUCGUUAACUGAUGCUUUUGUUUUUCUAUCAAAAGAAAAAGACACCUCUUUUCAAAAGAAAAUAUUAUAAGAUGUUAUUUGUUCUUUUAUGUUUUAAUUGUUAAACAAUUUUUUCAUCUUUGAUCUUUCAAUUGUAAGAUCUCAUGUUUGCUUACAGAAAUAUUAUCAGAUUUAUUAUGAAAUUUAUUUUGUUUAUUUUUAUAGCUAGCAAUAAAUAGAUUUAAUUAUUAUUAAAGAAAUUCAAGACUCAUAUAUAUUAUAAAACUAUAUUAAUUUUCCAUUAAUAAUUUUAUUUGUUUUAAGAAGAUAAACCUUAGCAAAUACUUUUUAAUAUGAACAAUUUUUUUUAUUUCUACUUUAAAAAUUAUAAAAGUAAAGUAUUUUGUUAGAAGUAUAUUGGAAUUUUGAUUUUACAUAUAAAAUAAUUAUAAAAAAUAUAAAGACAUUUUUUUUUUUUUUUUGUAAAAGUUCUGAUUAGUGAAAGUGUCUAUAGAAUUAAUUUUCUAGAAUUAGACUUAAUUAUGCUUAGUAAUUCAAAAUCUUAAUAAAAUUAGAAUAAUACCCACCCAAUGCAUGUUUAAUUAUAUAUUUUCAUUAUUAUUUUUUGUUAUGAAUAUUUUUAUAUUAUUUAAUUAUCUAUUCAGAAUAUUAUUUUUGAUUAUAAAUAAUAUAAACAUAUGAUACUAAAUAAAUGUAGAUAAUUAUCUAUAAUUAUUGAUUUCAAUAAUGAUUGAAUCAUUCGUUAAAUAAAAAUUUGUUCAGUUUUUUUUUUGUUUCUUUUACUAAUAAUAUUCAUAUAAAUCUAAAUAACUAGGAAUAUUUUAUAAAAUUGAAAAAAAAAAACUAUUAAAAAUAUAAAUCAAACCAAAUUAAAUAUUUCAAUAUAAUUUGGUUUAAUAUUUAUUGUUUAAAUAAUCUUUCAGAGUUUUUUGGUUGAUUUAGUAUUCUCUAUUUUUAAGUACAUAAUUCAAUAGUAUUAAUUUACUUUACAUGUAUAAAAAUAUAAAUAUUUUAUUUUAUUAAAUUGCAUAAAAAAUAUAAUCAAAAUUAAUUUUUAAUAAAUAUAUUAAAAAUAAUUUAUUUAUUAAUAUAAAAAUUGAAUUCUAUACAUUAACAAAGGCUUUUUAUUUGAGACUAUAAUAUGCUGCAAUAAUUUUGAUAAAAUAUAUGUAAUAUAAAANNNNNNNNNNNNNNNAUGGUCUAAUGAAUAUAAAUAUGAUGAUAAAGAAAAAAGAAUAAUUCUUUAAUUAAUAGAUAAUUAUUUUAUUAUGAAAAUUAAAAAAGUUAAAUAAUCAAUUAAAAUUUAAAAUUAUAAAGAAGAAUUUCAUAAAAAAAGGAUUAUAAAAUAAUGUAAAUCUAUAAAAAAACUUAUUUUACAUAGUAAUACAAAAUUUAAAGGAAUUAUCUAAAGUUGAAGUUACAAAAAGAAUUUAAAAAUUUUAAAAAUAUGAAAUAACAAAAUAUUAUAACUAAGAUGAUAAAUUUAUAAUAAAAUAUUCUCUAAAAUAAUAAAAAUAUGUUAGAAUUUAUUGAUUCUCUAAAAAUUAAAAAAAUUAACUUAAGAGUGAUACAAUAUGCUAUGUAGGAGAAACGAAAGAGGUGAAAUUCUUUUUCCUUUCUAUAGGGACCAGGAGAUUGGAUCUAGCCGUAAGAAGAAUGCUUGGCUGAUAAAUAACUCAUUUUUUGGUUUUCGACCCCCUCAGUCACUACAAACGCCCCUGAUCAGUGCAAUGGGAUGUGUCUAUUUAUCUAUCUCUUGACUCGAAAUGGAAACAGGUUUGAAAAAGGAUCUUAGAGUGUCUAAGGUGGGGCCGGGAGGGUCUGGUCUCUUAACGCCUUCUUUUUUCUUCUCAUUGGAGUUAUUUCAAAAAGACUUACCACGGUAAGGAAGAAGGGGAGAACAAGCACACUUAGAGAGCGCAGUAUAACAAAGAAUUCUAUGCUGCGUUCGAGAAGGAUGAAUCACUCCCGAAAAGGAAUCUAUUGAUUCUCUCCCAAUUGGUUGAACCGUAGGUGCAAUGAUUUACUUCACGGGCGAGGUCUCUGGUUCAAGUCCAGGAUGGCCCAGCUGCGCCAAAGAAAAGAAUAGAAGAAGUAUCUGACUCCUUCGUGCAUGCUCCACUUGGCUCGUGGAUAUAGCUCAGUUAGUAGAGCUCUACUCUUGCAAUUGGGUCGUUGCGAUUACGGGUUAGAUGUCUAAUUGUCCAAGCGGUAAUGAUAGUAUCUUGUACUUGAACUGGUGGCUCACUCUUUCUAAAUAAUGGGAAAGAGGACCAAAACAUGUCACUAAAAGACUCUACUGAGACAAAGAUGGGCUGUCAAGAACGUAGAGGAGGUAAGAUGGGCAGUUAGUCAGAUCUAGUAUGGAUCGUACGGGGACAAUAGAUGGAGUCGGCGGCUCUCCCAAGGUUCCCUCAUCUGGGAUCCUUAGGGAAGAUGAUCAAGUUGGCCCUUGCAAACAACUUGAUGUUUAAGAAUCACCGCCAAUACCUCGGUGUAGGUAAGUCUGGUAUAAUCAUUUGUUCCAUAGUCUAGGGCUAUUUACAACUAGCCAAUUAUGAAUUUUCAGAUGUACGUACUAGUACUAGCAAAUGCAUCAAAGAUGUAGUCAUCGAUUCUCCCGAGAUGCCACAAUUACCGCAAGCAAACAUAUUAAUGACGAAGAACAUAUUUUUGCUAUGCUACUAAUACUUAUACUUACUCUGCUAUUCUACCCAAGUCUGACUGAGGAAGAAUUAGGGGGGUAUAAAACAAAAAAAGAUUCGGUCUGGGGCAUGUGGAAUGAAUCUACCAUCGAUAAAAAAAAGAAUAAAAAAAGAAAACAUUCUAUUUCGACAAAAGAUCCACACCCAAGUUCCAUAGCUUUGGGUCCGCUAUCCCGAUCAUGAUUUUUCUACCUCUAGAAGGAAAGAUCCUUUCCUUUUUGGCCAGUUAUGGGCAAGGAGGGAUUUGAACCCCCUGACAUUGUGGUUCGUAGCCACGUGCUCUAAUCCUCUGAGCUACAGGCCCCACCCCCUCUCCAUUGGAUCUGUUCCCAGGAGUACCCUAACAAAGGAACCUUUCCUUUCCCCAGCCAUUUCGGGUUAAGAAGAUGCGAAAGUGCCUCUCUCUCUCUAUAAGAACGGGGCGUUUCGAGGUAUGAAGUGGGAGAAUGGAAUUUCAUAAUUGGGGUUUUGAAUAAGACAACCUUUUCAUUUUUUUUUCGUAUUGGAAAAGUAAUAAGAAUGAGGGAUGUUAAGCUUUUUAUCAUCCUGGAGUCGAGCUAUUUUUUCGCAUGACCUCCCCUAUAAUAUCUUCACCGCAGUAGAGUUUAACUACCAAGUUCGGGAUGGAUUGGUGUGGUUCCUCUACGCCUAGGACACCAGAAUAUCGAACCAUGAACGAACAAAGAAAUGAGAGAAAAUCAUAUUUGCUAGUGAUUGUAAGGCCCUAAUUCUUGACUAGGGGGGACACCAAAGGCCUCUGCCCUUCCAUUCUUGGAUCAAUAGAAAGGGAGGGCAAAGCUUUUGGCUUUUUCAUGUUGUCAAAGAGUUGAACAAUAAAAAUAGAUGGCGAGUACCUAAUCAAAUUGAUCGGGUCAUGUAGGAACAAUGUUCAAGUCUACCGGUCUGUUAGGAUGGCUCAGCUACAUACAUCACUGCACUUCCGCUUGACACUUAUCAUAAUGAUAAACGGCUGGUCUUGUUGUGACCUUCUUUUGAAUUCUCAAAACUUCUAUCACUCCACCCCUGCAGGGGUAGAGAACCCGUUGCUGUCUCGGCUGUGCUACCGAAGUUUCUAGGGAAGUCAGAAUAGGAGAGCACUCAUCUUGGGGUGGGCUUACUACUUAGAUGUUUUCAACAGUUAUCCACUCCAUACUUGGCUACCCAACGUUUACCGUGGGCAUGAUAACUAGUACACCAGAGGUGCGUCCUUUUCGGUCCUCUUGUACUAGGGAAAGGUCCUCUCAAUGCUCUAACGCCCACACUGGAUAUGGACCGAACUGUCUUACGAUGUUCUGAACCCAGCUCACGUACCGCUUUAAUGGGAGAACAGACCAACCCUUAGAACAUACUACAGCCCCAAAUGGCGGAGAGCUGACAUCAAGGUGCCAAACCUUCGCGUCGAUGUGAACUCUUGGGAAGAUUAGCCUGUUAUCCUUAGAGUAACUUUUAUCCGUUGAGCGAUGCUCUUUCCACUCGGCACUGUCGGAUCAUUAAGGCCAACUUUCGUCUCUGCUCGACGGGUGGGUCUUGCACUCAAGCUCCCUUCUGCCUUUGCACUCGAGGGCCAAUCUCCGUCCGGCCCGAGGAAACCUUUGCACACCUCCGUUAUCUUUUGGAAGGCCUAUGCCCUAUAGAAACUAUCUAUUUGAGAUUGUCCCUUGGCCUGUAGGUUCUGACACAAGGUUAGAAUUCUAGCUCUUCCAGAGUGGUAUCUCACUGAUGGCUCGGACCCCCCCGGAAGGGGGCCUUCUUCGCCUUCCACCUAAGCUACGCAGGAAAGGCUCAAAGCCAGUCACGGGGAACAAUGAAGCUUCAUAGGGUCUUUCUAUCUAAGUGCAGGUAGUCCACAUCUCCAUAAACAUGUCUAUUUCACCGAGCCUCUCUCCAAGGCAGUGCCUAGAUCGUUACGCCUUUCGUGCGGGUCGGAACUUUCUCAACAAGGAAUUUUGCUACAUUAGGGCUGUUAUAGUCACGGUCGCCGUUCACCGGGGCUUCGGUCACCGGCUCCCCUGUCAUCAGGUCACCAACUUCCUUGACCUUCCGGCACUGGGCAGGCGUCAUCCCCAAUACAUGGUCUUACGACUUUGUAGAGACCUGUGUUUAUUAUAAACAGUCACUAGGGCUUGGUCACUGCAACCCCCUUUGUGAGGAGGCACCCCUUCUUCCGAAGUUACGGGGCUAUUUUGCAGAGUUCCUUCAAGAGAGUUGUCUCGUGCCCCUAGGUAUUCUUUACCUACCUACCUGUGUCGAUUUCGGGUACAGGUACCCUUUUAUUGAAGGUCGUAUGAGCUUUUCCUGGUAGUAUGGCAUGGGUUACUUCAACGCUGUAGUGUCUGGUACUCGAACAUUGGCUCGAGGCAUUUUCUCUACCCCUUCUUAUCCUGAAAAAGCAGGGACACCGUGCGUCCUUGAACCGAUUACCAUCUUUCGGCUAACCUAGCCUCCUCCGUCCUCAAGACCAAUAAGGGGUAGUGUAGGAAUAUUCAAUUGUUGUCCAUCGACUACGCCUGACUCACCCACUGUGGACGAACCUUAGGUGAUAUAUAUAUAUAUAUAUAUAUAUAUAUAUAUAUAUAUAUAUAUAUAUUGAACUUAGAAUUAGACUCCUGCUACAUGAAUUAUAAUUAAUAAAUUAAAUUACUAAAUAAAUAAAUUAACGUAAUUAACUAAAAAAUUAAUGAGACUUUACCAAUAAUUAAUUUAAUAAAAAUUAAUAUUGAUAAUUAAUAUAAUAAUAAAUAAUAUUAAUAAUUAAUAUGAUAAUACUGGAAAUCAUUAAAUUCGUCAAUCCCUUUUAUUUUGUUCUUUUAUGAAAAAUUGGCCGGUCGUUGUAUGUGAUAAUUAUACUAUAUUGAUCAUUCCUUAUCUAAUGAUUAUCAAUCCGUGCAUAAAAAAUUAAUUAUGAGUAUAAAAACCUAUUUAUUGAACUUUUAGUUUAAAAUAAUUAAGUCUAAAGAAGAUAAGGAACUUUAUUAUCUUUUAUAAAAAUUCUACUUAUUGAGAGUGUCUAAAAUUAGAUUUAAUUAUAUUAAAUAAUUAAAAAUAGUUAACUUCUAGAAUUAAUUUUAUACUAAUAAAUUAUUAAUUAUUAAUAUUAAGUUAUAAAUAACUAAUUAAUUUUUUAACUAAAGGAUUACUUACUAAGUUAAUCAGUAAAUUUGUCUAUCACUCUUUUUUCAUAUUAGAAGUUCUCUGUAGAGGUCAUCAAUUGUAAUAAUUUUAUAAAUUAUUUCCCUUUUUCUUACUGAAGAAAUAUAUUAUUGGUUUAAAAAAAUUAACUUUUUAUGACUUAUGAAGUAUAAUAUUUAUGAUGUAUAAAAUUUUGGAUUCAUCUACUUAUUGGUAAGUAGAAUUAAUUUUAUUAUUUUGAUACUUUCUAGUAAUAAAACAUUCCUUCUCCAAUAAAAUUCAUUCUUUCUUAAUUCUUAUUUUAAUAAAAAUUCAUGUUUCUUACUUUUCUAUAUUAAAUUUUUAACUUAUUCUUCAAUUAUGAUUUUAAUAUGACUGUUAAUAUUAAAAUGCAUAAAUCAAUUAAGGUAAUUUAGUCAUUUACUAAUUUAAUUUAGUAAUUAAUGAUUUAUUUAGUAUAAAUUUAAUUCUAGAAAACUAUAUUAGAAUUUUUAAUUAAAUAAUCUUUAUAAUUCUUUGUAAAACAUGAAAAUUGCAAGUUUCAAGACUUUAAAUUUGAGAACUUAAAUUUUCAUGAAAGAAAGAGAAAACAUAAUUCAAAUAACAAAGUAUUUUUUUCUCUUUGAUUUUUCAUUUGAAAUUAAUAUUUUCAUUGAAAACGACAACAAAUUAGAAAGUAUGUAAUAGUUCAAAAAUAAUUAUAAAUGAGAGGCUCCAAAUAAUCUAAAGUCAAAACAGCCAGUAUUUUGAAUAAGAAACUCUCUAAGGAAAAAUAAUUUGGCAAUUACAUCUUUAUUGAUGGGAUGCUUAAUAAUUGGAUAAAAUUUAACUGAGUAAUUUGGAAUUUGGAAUUAUGGAUUUUCUUUUGUAUAAAUUAAUCAUCUUCACAAGUUGGAUUAUAAAUAAAUUUCAAGUAUAUAGUCUCUAUUAUAAGCAUGUUUUAUAUUGCUAAUUUUAAAUUUUAAUUUAUAUACUAUAAAGCCUUUUUGAAAACUUUAAUAUUGUUACAAAUACUUUCAAUUUGAUUCUAUUAAAAUGUAAUAUAUGAUAUUAAUAUUAUUAUUGACUUUUUAUACUCAUAAAAAUUUUAAAUUUAUAUUAAAUUAUUAUAAUUACAUCAUAUGUAUGGCUAUUUUUUUAGCUAAACGCAGGUAAAAAGAUAUUAGUAAUAUUAAAACUGAAAGUUAGUUUUAUGAUAAAAAAAUUAAAUUUUUCUCUUUAAAAAUUAAAUUAAAAAGAUACUUUUUUCUCUUUCAUUGUAACUAUCUCUAUGGACUCUAAGGAAAUUAAAAUGUCGAUUUUACUCUUAAUCUAAUGUUAAUCGUUUUUGUUUGAAAUAUUAGUUAUAAAUAUAAAUCAAAGUAGAAAGAAUUAUAAAAAUUAUUUAAUAAUUAAAAAUUUUAAUAGAGUUGAAUUUUUAAAAUUAGAUUUAUACUAAAUGAAUUAUUAAUUAUUAAGUUAAAAUAAUAAAUAACUAAAUAAUUUUAAUUAACUAAAAGAUAAGUAAGGGUAAUGACUAACUUUGCCUAUCCCACUUAUUAGCUUUUUCUUUUUUUUUUUUUUUUUUUUUUUAUAUGUACGUUAUGAUAAGUAGAAAGUAUCUUUUUCUGCCAAUCAACUUUUAUGAGUUUACUUUUACAUUUUCUUAAUUCAAAUUUUAAACAAUGGAUCUAUUUAAAAUUUUUUAGUGUUUACUCAGAAUAUCUAUAAUCAAGCAAGAAUGCAGUAAACGGUAAACUCUUCUUAAUAUUGUAUAAUUAUAAGAAUUUGAACUCAUAAACUUUAAUAUCUAUAUUCCAGCAAGGAUGUAGUAAAUGGUAAACUCCUCUUAGUAUGCCUUAAAAUUAGUCAGUGUACUACUAGAUCAAUACCAUAUUGGUGUCAAUAGUAUCUAAUAAUUAAAACAAUAAUAACACAAUAACUCUUUCUUUUUAACUAUGGAUUUAGCAUGUAAGCAUAUAUUUUAUCUUCCUUUCUGUAUUUUCCUUCUCUUUUCUCUCUCCAGCCUCAAUAUCUUUGAUUUGUUCUUAAAUUAUUCAGGUAAAAGUCAGUUAUAAGGAGAGAUCACGAGUCAACCACUAAGUCUUUGGCACAGUAAAAGAGCUUUACGAAAAUUAGAUAGAGCUGUCAAGUUCAAACCUUUAUUUCUCUUUUUUAUAAUAAUAACUAUAAAGAAAAGAUAUGGGUCCAAGUCGUUCUUUGUAAAUAUAAUGUGGCCUUGAUCAUAUUCCUUCUCAUCUUCCGAGUAAGAAUGGGUCUCAUGUUUGGAGAUCAAUUUGCAAGAAUUGGAAUGUUAUCAAAAGCGGAGUGAGAUGGAUUAUUGGUAAUGACAGAAAGGUUCUCUUUUGGCUAGAUCCUUAGAUGGCUAAUAGUAAACCAUUGUUGUUUUAUGCUACUGGCCCGAUGUUUGAGGAAGUCUUAGAGGCAAGGGUCUAUCACUUUGUUAGCUCCAACGACAAUUGGAUUUGGGCUAAGUUUUCUAAGGUCUUGCCAUCUCAAAUCUUUCUCAAAAUUACAAACGUUAAACCUCCUUGUAAUGAGGAUGGUGAUGAUUUUAUGACUUGGGCAUGGCCUAAGAAUGGAAAGUUCUUUGUUGGGACAGCCUAUAACCAAAUGGUGAGCAGUGAAUGGAAUGAGGAAAAUUUCUCAUAGAGGUUGGCAUGGGAUUAGAAAGGGCCUUUAGAGGAUAAAAGUUUUCAUUUGGCUAGCUUGAACAAGAAUUUGACUGCCAAAGUGAAGCUGGUUAGGAGGUAAAUUAAGGAUGUUCCUAUUUUGACAUUUGUGGCAAUGCUGUAGAGGAUAUUCUCCAUGUGUUGCGGGAUUAUUUGGUAGCUAGACAAAUCUAGAAAAGCUUAAUUCCUCCGGAUAGCCAGAUGGCUUUCUUCUUACUAGACCUGCAUAAUUAAAUGUUAAGUGAUACAGGCAUUCAAGGAGAGAUAAAUUGGUCUAUCACCUUUAGAGUUGCUCUAUAGAAAUUAUGGAGGUGGAGAAAUGAUGCGCGUUAUCUGUACAUGACAAAAUGCACCGAUCGUAUUAAGUAAUACAAUAAUAAAUAAGAGCAUCGUUCCACUAGGGAUCUAAUUGUGAGUAAUAUCUUCAAUCAUACACUAAUAUUUAGCAAUCAUAAUAUUGUUGGGUUGUAAUAAUAUUUAAUGGUCAAAUAAUCUUGAAAACAAAGAUUAAAACAAUUAGUAAACUUAUCAAGAAUAAAACCAAUUUAGACAGUAAAUCUCCUUAAUAAGUUAAGUAUUUCAUGAAACAAACAAUAGUUAAUUCAAAUCAAGAGUUGAGUUAGCAUUUCAUAAAAUUAGGUUUAAACCUUUCUCAAGUGAUUAAACCCCUAAUUCCUAAGAGGAGGGAGAGGAAUCUCUUCCCAAACUAACUCACUUAGGUCAUGCAUUAAGAUUAAAAAACUAUUCAACCAAAGGAUCUUGUAGAUCUAUCUUUAGUAUCCUAAUCAAUCCUCAAUCCCUAAGAUGUUAUCAAUUUAUAAAAAGUUAUCUCUAAUCACUUUAUGAAAAUAAAUCAUAGUCAAUACGUCGACUUAUCAAUUGAAAUAGAUAAUUAAGCAAUCAAAGGAACAAAACAACUCAUAGAAAAAAUUAAUUGUAUUAACUUUGAAUCAAUCCAUACAAAACAAAUUAGGGUUCAUCAAAACCAAAAUAGCAAGAAAAUUAGUUCCUAAAAAUUACAAUAGAGAAAUAAAGAUUAGGAAAAGAAGAUCUCAAACUAUUCAUGGAAGAGUAGAGACAAAAAUCUUCAAUCUUCAAAAGUAAUGAAUGAAUUAAUGUUCUUUCUUGAGAAAUAACAAUCAAAACCCUAAAAAUGAAAGAAAGAUAAAGUUUCUAAGUAUUUCUCUCUCUAGAAAUGAAAAUAUAACAGAACUUCCUUAAAAAACCCCUAAAGUCCUUUAAAUAGUGUAUUUUUAUGAUUGACAAGGGGACCACACGGGCACCACAAGGUCGUGUGAUGUCCUUAGCUUUUCGAAGCUUGAAUAUAUAUUUCUUUCUGUUCUUUACUCUACGGGCUAUUUUAGGAUAUCAUAAAAAUUGAAUUAAGGCUUACGUUCUUCAUCAAAGUUGUAGCUUUUGAAGAGUAGUUCAUUUUAAGAUUUGCAACACUUCAAUUAAACCUCUUUAGCUCUAGAUAAAGUCCAAAUACUGAGACUGACCCAAACAGAGAUGGAGUGCAUAACAUCUGACUUCAACCUAAGCUUUCUCAUCCUUAGCAACCUAAUAUGGAGUUGAGCUAUUUAUAAGCAUUAUAGCUGAGGAAGUCCUCUACAAAAUUGAUGAAGACCAGUUUUCAAUUCUAAACCUGUAAGAUCACAAAAAACUACACUAAAACUAAUGCGAUUAAAUCUGCGUAAUGCUGAAAUAUCAGUCUGACACGGAAAGCACACGCCCGUGUGGAUCCUUCAUACAAUCUGCCAUUUCUUACAACUCAAAUGAGAAGGCACACGCGUGUGCCUUCCCGUGUCACAUUGAACUUUGGAUAAAUAUGCCUUUUCUUUGCUAGAUUCUCAUACUUUUCAAUUUUAUUUGACUCAUUAACAUGUAUUAUCCUUAAAGUGCCUAAAAGAACUGAAAAUUAAGCUUGAAUAAACAAAUCAAAUUAAAUUGCAGUAAAAAUUAAUAUAAGAUAAAGCUGAAAAGUAAGUACCUUUAGCACUUAUUAAAUUUCCAAACACUUAGCAAUUGCUUGUCCUCAAGCAAAUUGAAUAGAAUCAGAAAUAAAGAAAUAAUAAACUCUUUGUUUAACAAAUAGAUAUUAAAUAAUAUCAAGGUUAAUCAUUCAUAUCAUUAAAGCCUAGAAUCAUUAGCCAAUAAUUAAUCCUUAAACAAAAUACCAACAUCUAGGGGAAUCACAUAAUAGGAAGUAAUGAAAAUUAAAACCUUAACAUCUAAAGUCAGGGAAAUGAGCAUUCUUUGCAAAUAACCCAAAAUUUUAAAGAAAAUAGAGAAAAGAUUUUUUCCCUGAGCACAAAAAAACUUCAUGAACCGCAAUUACUUAUGUCUCUGUUUUUUUUAGAGAUCUAUGCAUAUUCAAAAUUGUCAUUCUUUUGACGCGAAUGUAGAUAUGGAUGAUGCCAACCCCCAGUUACUUAACUAGAGUCACAAAUCUAAAUAACUACUCAUAUUCUCGGGUUUCUUUCAAUUUAUUUCUUUUUAUUUCGAAUGAGAAUAGCGGAAUAGAGCAAAAAACUCUUAGCAUUGUAUUUUGUUUACGUUCAUUUUUUUGACAUUUCGAAAGAAUAAGAGAGUACAAAGGAGUAUUAGAUGUGUCUACUUGAUAAGAUUAAGCGAAAUUUGAAAACUUAAUGCUCAUAAAUAUAACUAAAGUUUCAAGAUAUAAAAAUAACGCGACAUUAUGAAUUAAAAAUCCUAGCAUGGAUACCAAGUUCAAGUCAUAAUUCAAAGUGAAAUCAACUAAAUCGCAAUUCAAUAAAUGACUAACCAAAUUUAUUAUUUUGUACCUAUAAAUUUGAGAUAGAGAAAAUCAUAAUAAGUAAUUAAUUAAACUUAAUAAGCUUAUAGAAAAUUAAUCACAAAUAGGCAAAAGACAACAAAAAUGCUUCCCCCACACUUAAUCGACAUUAUUGUCCCCAAUGUAUUUGUUAUAUAACGUACAAUAAAAUAAAAUAAGGAGGAGACUUAAACCGAAUGAUUGUCGUUUUUUUUUAAUUCAAAAUUCAUUCUAAUUCACAAGUCAUCUGUUUAUCUAUCGCACAUCUAAGAAUAGAAAUAAAUGUUAUAACAUAUAUAGUCAUCCAAUAACAAAAGAAAACAAAAACACUAAAAAUAAAAAAACCAUAAAUAUCCUAAUUAAGUACAAUCAUCUAAAAAUAAAAUAAAAGACAUAGAAACAAAUCAAAAUAAAAGUCCAGCUCAAAUGCUAGAACAAGGUGGAGGUUCAAAUCCUCCAUACCAUCAUCUCCACCAACCUACAUCAAGGAGCUUAAUCAUCACCACCAAAAAUGCAUAUUCUAAAUGAGAUAAGAAUUGCUUAAGCUUCAAAGUUAGUAGGUAUUUAAUAGGAGGCUUCAUUCUUUCUUUGAUGGGCAUCUCAAUAGCUUUUGAUGUUUUCAGUUUUUCUGGUUUCUGCACAAGACACAACUCAAAAGUAUCUUUAGCAAUAAUAGAUAAAAUUAAAUUGACAAUUUCAUGCUCUAUCAUAUCAACACUAGAAUCCAUAUCAUUAAGUGCAAGUGGGUGUUUUAUGCCAUUGGGGGUUUAAAAAGUCAAUUGCUCAUCCCCUACCCUAAGAAUGAGUUUACCAUCAUGAACAUUAAUAUAGUUCUAGCUGUAGCAAGAAAGGAUUUAUCAAGAAUAAGGAAAACAUCAACAUCCUCAUCUAUAUUCAUGAUCAUAAAAUCCACAAGAAGAAUAAACUCUUGAACCUUUACCAAAACAUCUUCAAUGAUAUCCCUAAGGUAUACAACAGAUUUAUCAGCUAGUUGAACACUCAUGAGUGUUGGUUUAGGUUCUCUAAGUCCUAGUUUCUUAGAAAAAUUAUAAGGCAUAACACUAAUGCUAGCCUCCAAGUUAGCAAGUGCAUUUUCAACAUUUAAAUUACUAAGCUUCUUUCGUAAUCGCCUCUCAAAGAUCGCCGAGCUCUUCUCUGAUAGUUGCACCAUUGACACUUCCUUAAGCUUCCUCUUGUUAGAGAGGAGUUCCUUUAAGAACUUAGCAUACUUAGAAAUUUACGAUAGAGCUCCUAUAAAAGGUAUGUUAAUAUGCAACUACUUAAAGAGUUCAAGAAACUUACUAAAUUUUAUAUCCAAUUUGUCCUACAGAAGAUGGGCUGGAAAUGGUACCCUUGGUUUAUACUCCUUCACAAAAGGGGUAGGCUUUGGUGUUACUUCUACUUUAUCUUCUACUUUAUCUUUAACCGCAUCAGAUUGCUUUUCUGCUUACUUUGUUUCAGUUCAUAAUUAUUUUCCAUUUCUGAAAGUAAUGACCUUGAGUUGCUCUCUAGGAUUUGUCUCUAUGUUGCUAGGCAAGCUUCCUUGGGACCUUUCACUCAAAAGCUUUAUAAUCUGCCCCACUUGAUUUUUUAAGUUGUGAAUCGAAUCUUGUUGGUUCCUAAGAGCAGUUUUUGUAUACUGAAACCUUAAUUCAGAAGCUAAGAUAAAUUUCUCCAUCAUCUCCUCUAAAUUACUCCUUCUAGGAGGAGCUUGUUGCUGGUUUUGCUAUUGAAAUCCUGGUGGUGGAGGUCUUUGCUGAUUCUGAUUCCCCCAAGAGAAAUUCAGAUGAUUUCUCCAUCCUAAAUUAUAUUUAUUGCUGUAGGGGUUGUUCUAUUGGUCUGAAGCAUUACCCAUAUAAUAAACAUGCUUUAGCUUAGCAAAAGUAUUGCCAUUUUGGCAAUCUUGACAUAGAUGACCACACCUAUACCAAUCACAAGUCAUAACUUGUGCCUGUCUUCCAGAUGAAGACAUAGUCAAAGCAUCCAUCUUCCUGCUCAUAGCCUUUCACUGUGCAUUUACAGUUACCAUAGGGUCUACCGCAUGGAUUCCACUCCUUUUGACUCGAACCUACUCUCUUGGAUUCUGCCAUUGAUAGUUCGUGACUGCCAUAUCCUCAAUAAGAUCCAUAGCUUGCUCAAGAGUCUUAUUGUUUAGUGAUCUACCUGCUGUAGUAUUAAUAGACUAUUUACUUGCGUAAUUCAGUCCAUUAAAGAAUGUUUGAAUUUGUAGCCAUAAAAGUAAAUCAUGGUGUGGAUGGCUUCUCAGUAAAUCUUUGAAACAUUCUCAACAAUUGUAUAGAGUCUCAUUCUCUUACUGAAGAAACCUUGUUAUGUCAUUCCUUAACUUGGCCAUCUUAGAAGGUGAAAAAUAUCUUUCCAAGAGUUUCUCGGCCAGCUGAUUCCAAGUCGUAAAUAUCCUACUUGGAAAUAACUUCAACCACUUCUUUGGCUUAUCCCUUAAUGAAAAUGGGAAUAGCCUCAACCGAAUAGCACCAUCUAAUACCCUAUUAAUCUUGAAGGUAUCGCAAAUCUCCAGAAAAUCAUUUAAAUGGGUGUUUGGAUUACCAUUUGAAUGAUGUUAGGCUUGAUCUCGAAGUUUUUUACUACAACAUUUGACCUUAUAAUACUCGAUGUGGCCCCAUUAAGAGUUUGGCAUGCAUACUCCUGCAUGAUUCUCUCCCUCGGUGGAGCUGCCAUCCUUAACUAUUCCCCUUCUUAGUUUGGUUCUCCUUCUUGAUUUCGAUUCUGUAACUCUGCUGGCAUUUCGGCUAAAGCUCGUUCUCGUUCUUCUCUUUGUUGCUUCCUUAAAGUUCUUUCCAACUCUAGUUCGUAAGCAAAUAAUUCAGUUGAACUAGCUCGGGUCAUAUACAAAUUCAAGUAUUUACAGAAAAUACAAACAUAACAAAGAUAAAUCAAAUGAAAAAUAAAAAUGCUAAAUUACUAGCUUUUGAAUUACUAAUGAUAUCACAAUAGAAAAUAGGUCCCCGAUAACGGCGCCAAAAAUUUGAUGCGUGCUAUCUGCACAUGGCAAAGUGCACCAAUCGUAUCAAGUAAUAUAAUAAUGAAUGAGAGUAUCGUUCUACUAGUGACCUAAUUAUGAGUAUUACUUUCAAUCAUACACUAAUGUUUAACAAUAAUAAUGUUGUUGAGGUGUAAUAAUAUUUAAAAGUAAAAUAAUCUUUAAAACAAAGAUUAAGACAAUUGGUAAAGCCUAUUUAGGUAAUGAAUCCCCCUAAUAAGUUAAGUAUUUCAUGAAACAAACAACAAUUUCAAAUCAAGAAUUGAGUUAGCAUUCUACAAAAUUAGGUUUAAACCUUUCUCAAGUGAUUAAACUCCUAAUUCAUAAACGGAGGGAGAGAAAAUCCCUUCUCGAACCCACUCACUUAGGUCAUACAUUAAGAUUAAGAAACUAUUGAACCGAAGAAUCUUGUAGAUCUAUCUCUAAUAUAUCAAUUCUCAAUCCCUAAGAUGUGAUCAAUUUAUAAAAAGUUAUCUCUAAUCAGUUUAUGAAAAUAAAUCUCAAUCAAUACAUCGACUUAUCAAUUAAAAUAGAUAAUUUAGCAAUCAAACGAACAAAAUAACUCAUAGAAAAGAUUAAUUUUAUUAACUUUGAAUCAAUUCAUGCAAAAUAAAUUAGGGUUCAUCAAAAUCCAAAUAGUAAGAAAACUAGUUCCUAAACAUGACAAUAGAGAAAUAAAGAUUAGAGAAAAAAGAUCUCAAACUAUUUAUAGAAGAAUAGGGAUGGAAAUCUUCAAUCUCGGAAAGUAAUGAAGGAAUUGAUAUUCUUCCUUCAGAAAUAUUAAUCAAAACCUUAAAAAUGAAAGAAAGAGAAAGUUUAUAAGUGUUUCUUUCUCUAAAAAUAAAAAUAUAACGGAACUUUCUCAACACAACCCUAAAAGUUACUUAAAUAGUGUAUUUUUAUUACACGGGCACCACACAGCCGUGUGACGUCCUUAGCUUUUCGUAACUUGAAUAUGUGUCUCUUUUCAUUCUUUACUUUGCAGACUAUUUUAGGGCAUCGUAAAAAUCUAAUUGAGGCUUACAUUCUUUAUCAAAUUUUAGCUCUUGGAGAUUAGUUCAUUUUAAUAUUUUGAAUCACCUCAAUAAGACCUCUAUAUCUCUAAAUAAGGCCUAAACACUAAGAUUGACCUAAACAAAGACGGACUGCACAACAUCUGAUUUCGAUCCAAGUUUUCUCAUCCUUAGCAACCUAAUAUGGAGUUAAGCCAUUCAUAAGAAUUAUAGCUUAGGAGGUCCUCUAUAAAGUUGAUGAAGACCACUUUUCAAUCCUGGACCUUUAAGAUCACAAAAAAGUAUAUUGAAGCUAAUGAAAUCAAAUAUGCGUAAUGCUGAAAUUCGCCUAUUAAUAUGACACGAGAAGCACACGCCCGUAUGGGCUUCCCAUGUGGACCCUUCAUGCAUUUGCCAUUUCUCACAAUGGAAGACUACAUGCUUGUGUGGCUUCCCGUUUCACACUGAGUUUUGGAUAAAUAUGACUUUCUUUUGCCCGAUUCUCAUACUUUUUAAUUUUAUUUGACUCUUUGAUAUGUAUUAUCCUUAAAGUGCCUAAAACAAUUAAAAAUUAAGCUUGAACAAACAAAUCAAACUCAAUUGAAAGUAAAAUCAAUAUAAAAUAAAGCUAAAUAAUAAGUGCUUUUAGCACUUAUCAAGAAAUGAACUCUUUUUUUAAAAUGCAAGCUUGUGGAAGGAGCGAAUGAUAUCUGACAUUCUUUGUUUUUAGCUGAAAUUGCAAGGACUGCCGAAGGUCAUGGUAGUAGAAGCUAUAACGAGUUGCUUGUCUAUUAGACACCUUCAAAGGGACCCAGUUUAAAGCUCAACACUGAUGUGGCUUUCUGCUCGAAUACUAUGCAUGUGAAUGGGGGUGGGGUUCUGCAGGAUGUUAAGGCUAUGUGGCAGGAAAGCUUUAUCAUGAAUAUAGGGUGUUGCUCAAUUACUAAGGUGCAGGUAUGGGCCUAUUUAAAGGUCUACAUUUUGCUUGGGAGAGAGGAGUUUGAAACCUAGAAUUAGGGCUGAUAGCUUGUGUAUCGUGCAGCUUGUCGAAAGUCAAAAAUUAGGGAUCAACACUCACUGCCAGCUUACGAAGGGUAUUAAGAAUCUUUUGUCUAGGAAUUGGCAAGUCUUAUUAAGGCAUAUCUUCAGAGAGGCCAACAGGGUAGCUAAUUAGCUAAUAAGCUUUGCUUCAACUUUUCCAUUGGUUUUUAUAGGGAUAAUAAUAUAAAUGGUCACUAAACUUUGCAAUUAAUUUUAUUUGGAUUAUAAAAUUUUAAUUUAUUUUAUUUCAACAAUUCAAUAUUAGUUUUAGUUGUAAUUUAGUCACUUUGCCAAUAAAAAAUUGCCAUGUCACAAUUUUCUUACUUAAUUAUAUUUUUCUUAUUAAUUGUUUUUACUACCAUCAAUCUUGUAUUUAAGAAGUGAAUAAUUGAAAUAAAAUUAAGAUUAAAUGACAAACAAAAAAAAAAAGAUUUUAUGAUUAAAAUAAAACGGAAUACAAAGUUGUUUUAAAGAAUCCGCCGGUCAUCUCUUAUUUCAGGAUGUUGUUGACUACUAGUAGAGUUAUCAGUAUUUAUUAGCUUUCUUUAAAUCUCUUUUUUGUAAAAGAAGAAAAAAAGGAGUGCGAGUCAAUUUUUCAGUUCAACAUUUAUUCUCAAGUAGAAGCUCUCUCUUAUUACAAACUGAAGAGAUGAGACCAUCCAUCAAAGUCUUCUUUUAUUUUUCCGGACUUCGCAUUGACCUACACAUCCCCCCGCUCCCCAUAGAAAAAGAUAAAAAAAGGCCAUGUACGCCUUUCUCAGUACAAAGCUUAAGCAUCAUAAUGCCUUCUUCCUGACUGGAACCUUGAGCUACCUAAGGUUGUUUCCUCUCUAGCAAACUUGAUUCUCCUUGCCUCUUCUAUCGACACCCGGAAUGCAUUGGCAAUCACCUCCACUGGCAUGCCGCGAACAGCAGAAGUGCGGCCGGAAAGAUCAGAGGUCAUGGCAUUGUCGUUGGUCUUGAAGGCAACGUAUUCGAAUCUGUCACUCUCUGACCGUUUCACCACCACAAAGUUCUGUGGCACGGUCAGGACCUGUCCUUCUCGUACAUUUCCAUCGAACACACUGUUGCCGUUCUCAUCCACCACCUGAAUCCGUGCUUGACCCUUCACGGCAUAGAUUACGCUGUGGGCAUUUAUAUGCCAGUGGGGUAACCUCACAGCAUCCUGCCAGGAACAUAUCAAUCAUUAUAAGUUGUGGAAGCGCUUCAUUAUAGUUAGAAUCGAAGGAGCAUUGAUGACUUACAUUGCGAAGAACGACAUGCGAAGCACUGAGUUGGAGCCAUCGCAGAAUAGGGAGGUUGUGGCUGUUGACAGUGCUAACACGGCCAACUUCUGGGACAAAUACAUCAGAGCGAGAGGGAUCAGCAAUGUUCUCUUUCAUUCUCAUGGUGCAAAAUGUCUCCUCAACGCCAUUGUAACGUCCUGGUCGGCCUUCUUGCUCUCUCUCUCGUUGUUCCUCUCUCUCCUGUUGAGUCCUGGGUGGCCUAACUACCAGAAGCCUACCUUCUACAUUCACAAUGCUGCCUCUGAAGUCACUUUGGCCUUGAAGUUUCCUAGCCAACUGCUCGUCCACGUUGAAAGCUUCGGCAAGGACUCUUGAGUCUAUUCCGCAGAAAAGAUUGUUGCAAGAAACAUGUGGCGGCUGACUUGGACGGCGAGAAAAUUGAUGCUGGCCGCGCUCAUAGUCGCCGCGUGGAAGUCGUGGGAACACAUCUUCUGUAUUGCCAGCUAGAUAAAAGUCCUGUUAACAAGUUCAAGAAAAACCAUAAAAUGUGAAUUAACGCCUAACAAACACCUGACCGCAUAUACAUGCGUAGGUAGGCAUAUGUUUUUGUUUCUUACUCUGGGGUUCCUAUCAAGCUGGUUGCCUAUGUUGGCAGUGUCAAGCACAGAAAUAGUAACGACAGGCUCAUUGCCGUCAUUGUAGCACCAGUGGGCUACUCCAGCAGGCAAAGCAAUAACAUCGCCCUUACGGAAAUGACGAAUCUUCUGGUGCUGAUCACGAACUCUGCUGCUGCCACCUGAUUGCUGAGACUCUUGGAGUGUUUCAGCACAUCCCGGGAGCAAGACCCCUGUCAUUCCUCUACCUGUAUAUAAACAAAUUAAUCAUCUCAUAAUCCAAAAUUCCAAGCACAUUAACUCACAUAUACCGCUUGGUGUAUAUAAUUUCAGCUUUUGAAUAUAUAAUUUUACCCUGGACAACGUAUAAGAGUUGAGGAGCAUUGCUAUAGGAUGGCAAUAGAAGGCCAUUGGGAUGAAUGGUGCGCCUAACAACAGCAACACCAGCGCAUUGGAACUGAUCACGGUUAGGAUUCCACGACUCAACCAAACCAGCUUCGGUCUGAAUACGUUUAUCGGGUUCGAGGGCAUAGAGUUUAUUGAGUUGGCACUCAUUACCCUGCUGAAAUUCACGGCGAGCUAGAGAGCCAUGGAAGAGAACAAGUAGGAAGAAAGAAAGAGAGAGCAGCGAAGAAGGCUGAACCAUAGUGGCAGAGAGGAGGGGAUAGGUGGUUCUGGGAUGGAAAUGGCGAAUGGAAGGGGUUGGUAUUUAUAGAGGAAGAAGGAGAUGCAAAAGAAAGAUGAUCGUAAGGUUUCUUUGGUCACUCUCUUUGAUUUGCAUGGCUACUUCAUCUUAACUUCUUACACCUAAUAAAGUCAGGCAGGGCAGGUGUAUCAAAACUCCAUAGAAGAAUACAAAAGUUUGUGACUGGGGAAGAAGGAAAAAGAAGAAGACAACAUUGGAUUGCAAAAACCAUUACCAUAACACCAAAAAGUGAUAAAGUGUCUAAUAACUAUGUUUGAUCUAUAACGUCCAAAUAAAGAGAGAUUAGAGACAAAUGUGUUACUUUUUUCUUCUUCUUUUGCAAUUAUAUAUAACACUCUUUUGCAUUUCCAUGCCCAAUUGUUUAAAUCACAAUGAUCUUAUAAAGGGGUGUGAAUAUUUUAUUUAAUUUUAUUUUAAUUAUAAAAUUUUAAUUUAUUUUACUUGGGUCAUUCAAUUUUAAUUCAACUAAUAAAAAAAUAAUUAAAAGAAAUAUGAUAUAUUAACUUUUUAUCAAUAGAAUGACUAAAUUGCAAACAAAAUUCAAAUUAAAUAAUUGAAAUAAAAUAAAGUAAAAUUUUGUAACCAAAAUAAAACUAAAUAAAAAAUUGAAUGACCAUUUAUAUUAUUAUUUUAAUAUUUUAUUAUAUCUAUAUAUUGAUAAUCUAAUAUCCUUUACUUUAAAAUAUUUCGUUGUUUAUAAUAUUUAUCAUAUUAUAAUUCAAACUGAAUGAUUUUUUACUAAUAAAAAUCUUAAGAACACAAAUCUCAUAUUAUUAGUUCAAACUGUAUGAUACUUUACUAGUAAUAUUUGAAGAACACAAAUCUUAUAUAUAUACACAUAAAAUUCUUAUUAAUUUGAAGAGAAAUUAACCCUAGCUAGUUGUAACUAGAGUUACAGCCACAUAUAUGCGAACAAGUCAAGACCAGACUGCAGGGCAAUUAAUGAUCAACGUCCCCUAAAUGUCCCUAAAGGGAAUCUGCUACAAAGUCUGUCUAAUUAAUGGGUACAUAAGGUAUUAUACAUAAGUUUCCACUGUGAAUGUCCUCUUCCUUAAUUGUUACUAAUCCUGAGAAUUUCUUUUUUAAAACAAACACUCUACUCAAUUAAAAAUAUACAGGGGACUUAUAAAAGACUAUGUCUUGUAGAAAUUGUUUUUCAAAUGAAAAUAGAAAAGGCCUUCUACCGCAGCUGACCCACAGGCCAAUAGAAUUUUGGUGAUAUUUUUUUUAAAUUAAAAAAAAAAAAACAGUUUUUUUAUGUUUUAACUUUGAAAAACUUUUAAAGACAAGUUAAAUAUGUUUUCUAUGUUUUUUUUAAUAAAAACUCACUUAUUUUUAAAUAAAAAUAAUAAAUUUUCAUUUCAUUUAUUCUAAAUCUAUCCUAUAUACUUAAAAUAUUAUCUAAAUAUAUAUAAAGUAAAUAUGUUUUAUAAAUUUUAUAAAUUUUCUAUUAAAAUGAAAAUUUUCAUUUUUCUUAAAAGUUAAAAGAUAAAAAUAGAAAGAAAACAUGCGUCUGAAAAUUGGUAACCGCCUACUACUUCUUACAAUAGUGUAAAUAUCAAAACUACCAAGACAAUGGCUUGUCAUAAAGUAAACUAAAUGCAUAGCUAGACACAAGAGCAUUUCAAUGAUAAACAGUAGACCAAAGUCUCAACUUCAUAAGUAAAAUAAUCUGAGUAUCUAUCUCAGAGAUGAAUUUUUCCUUUUAUGUAUGUAGAUCAAAAGAGUGAUAACCACAACAGAGAAAACAUGCCAAAAAUACAGUUUACCUGAGAAUCCAUGACUAAGUGAGCUGCUGGAUAGGGUGAUAAAAGAGCAGUGCACGUGAUAUUGGCACGGCUCAAUCAAAAAGCAGGGCCCAUAACAUUUUGAGCACUGUUUUCUUAUUGAACCGGACCAAUAUCCCGUUUGAUUCACCUGUUCCAUCUGAUGCGUAUAUGGCAAUGACAAAGCUUUUCUAAUCCAUUUUACUCACCAUCUUUCAUUUGGAAACGAGUCUUCUAUCUAAAUAUAUACACAACAUACAAACAAAAAGUUCAAAACAAUAAAUUAAGAAAAAGAUAAAACAUAAGAGAAGAUCAAUACAAAGAGUAGGAAUGAGAACAUAGAUACAUAUAGGCAUGCAAAAAGAACAUGCAAAUACUGAACAGAGAAGGGAGAGCAUAACCCAUGAGGAGAAGAGAAGAGAGAAAGAGACAAAGUUAAAAGAAGUAAAGAAUGAGUGUGUGUCUCAAGAAAGGUAGUAAACCAAAGGCAACAAAGAAACACAGAAAGAAAAUGGGGAGAUGGCAGAUAUAAUAGCAUUAAAUAAGUGAAAUUUAAGGUGUUCAACUACCCAAUAAGGAAGGAAGUUGGGAAUAUUAAUUUUUAAAGAAGGUACAAGAAUCGUGAAAGAGGGUCCGGCGGAUACAAAAUCUGAAAGCUUUUAAUAAAAUUGGAGUAGCAUUUAUAGAUAUGGUGUGGGCAGCAAAGGUGGGACGUUGGAUUCUGUUCAUCCGCAUUUAUUAGUGUUUCAAUUCACAAUACAAAACAUAAGAACUUUUGUUUUGUUCUGGUUUGGUUUUGGUUACCUUAGUUAUUACUGCUGAGUGGGUAUUUCGUAGGUUUUAGCAUAACUACUUAAUGCCAUGCUCUCCUAGUAGCAUUAGAGAAUCUCAAUGGUGUUUUUAAUAUCUUUAUAUUAUAUAUAAUAGAAUAUAAUAAAAAGAAGUAAAUAGUAUACAUUAUGCAUAAUUUAGUAUAUGUUUGAGAUACUUUUGAUAUAUUACUAUUUUAAUUUUGUUCUAAAAAAUUAAAUAUAUAAAUUUUUACUUGAAUAUCUGUUAGUAAAUAUAUAUAUACAUACUCUAAGAAAAGGGCAUAUCAAUUGUAUACCGUGAUCGCGGUCUUUUUAGGAUCCGUCUCAAGUGAUUGUGGCUACGUUACUGUGUCGGAGGUUGUAUCGUUCAUACUAGGCUUGAUUUAAAAGAGCCGUCUGGAAAGAGAUCUCAAGAAAUUUUGGUUUCCCUUGACACAAAGUCUGACCUCCACUAAACUUUAAGGCUUUUGGUUUUCCUAAUCGUAUUAACUUACCUUGGUUGCUACUCAUUUUAUUACGAUGGCAUUUUAUUAUCUUGUUUAGACAUAUAAAGGUGAGAAAUAAAGUACUAGCCUAGCAUACAUCUAUCUAAGUAAGGAAGGCACAUUAGUGCCACUAAUUCUAAGAACGUCCAUUAAUACCUUAAAUUUUAUUUGCUAUGCCAAGGUGACCAAAUAAGAACCGAUUUUAUUAAGCAUAUGGAUGUCGGUUCAUUUUAUCUUUAGUCGAUUAGGUGAGUGAAAUAUGGAAGGCGAGGGGAUUCACAUUGAUGACUUAGUUUAUUUUAGUUAACAUGUGACAUGAUCAAUCAACAUACUUUCAAUUUUUAUUUGGCAUAUGAGGUGAAAUCUAAGCAUACCAAAACAAUUAGAAAAAUAGAUAUAAAGAAUGAGAAGAGAGAAAUUAAUGGGAUACAAAAUAUAUUAGUAAGUAUAAUGGAAAUUUAAAUAACACCUUGAAUAGUCCUAAAGCACACCUUUAAACAAAUAAGUAUAUAAACAAUCAAAUCCAUAUUUAUUCUAAAUCAAGGGUGGUCUUUAUUAGAGGAUUAGGUCAAGCACAAGGAUUCCCAACCUGUACUAUGAAGAAGGUCAAAUUAGUAGAAUGUUUCAAAUAGUGAUAUUAUGAUAAGAAACUAAUAAAAUGAUGACUUUAAUAUUAAAAAGAAAAACUAAAAUAUGGUAAAAAUGUAAAUUUAAUAUAUAAAGUCUAAACUUAGUUAUUUCAAAUAAAAUAGAGGAUAAACAUGUAUAUCUACCCUAGAUACACCAUAAUCAAAUUAUUAAACUAAUCAAGCAAAUGCAACUUAAGAUUUAAUUUACUUAAAAUAAAUAAUCAAGCUUCUAAAGAAAUUAAUUUACUUAAAAUAAAUAAUCAAACUUCUAAGAAAAUUAACUUUAAACAUGUGAUGCUAACACCUAACCCAUAUUAACUUACACAAAAUAUUAACAAUCCUAAUGUACUCGAAUUAUUAUCAUGUUUAGCCAUUUAAGCACGUAUUCACUCAAAAUAAACUCAAAACACACUCAAAUCAUACCGAGUUAAUUUAAAUUAUUUUAGACAAAAACUGAAAACAUUCUAUAAUCAUCAAAUACAUCACUGAAAGGCCUUUGAAACCCUAGAUCUACCAAAAAUGCCAUGAAAAUGGAAGCUCCAAGCUUUUGUAAGCUUACCCAACGUAGGGUAAGCUCCUAGAAACUUGAAGCUUUUUUCAUAAAAUACCACUUUUUAAUUUAAUGCAGACAUAAAAUAUAAUAAAAUAUAGUCAAAUAUAUGUCUAAUACAAGUUUAAUCUAGAGUUUUGACCCUCGGGGUGAUACCUUUUGGGGAAUAAGGCAAAAGUGAUGGCUUUGAGAGUGAAAAAGGUUUUGUAAGCUACUUGAUACCAAAAUGAACCUCAAAUGCCUCCUAGAUUGAACAAAGUAAUCCUGCAAAUAACAAGACCGUGAAAAAUAAAAGGUUGGGUGUGUUUUGGUAUUGAGUGGAGGAAAAGAUAAGAAAGGGUUAAAUAUGGGUAUUUAGGCUAGAAAAAAGGAUGAUUUAAAGGUUGUAAGAUAGAUAUAAGUUGCAGGAAAACUUGAAAAAAAGAGAUUUGCAAUGGAUUCUUUUUGGGUUUUAUUGUCCCUUAGAACCAAGAAGUGGGGGAUUGAAUUGGUGAUUUCAAAUCGCGGAAUUAGAUGAAGUACAAGGUUAAAAAGCCACAUGAGGAUUUUAAGUGAACAAAACAAAGAGUAAAGGUUAAAAGAGAUUGAGACAAGGAAUUUGUAUUGAUUCGGGACAAUCCUCCCUACGUCCACUCCUCAAGAUCACACUUGAAUAUUUCACUAUAAUCAAAUCUUGAUUACAACCUUUGGGUUUCACAAGCUCACUCAGCAACUUGGUAUUUUUUGCAGACUAACACUACACCUCUUCCUUUAGUAUCUUAAUCUCUCAUUAAGUCCAUCUACCAUUGAGUUUUAAUGGAAACUUAAUAAUCAAUCCUUGUAUUUUUAAUGCCUAAGCUCGCAUAACAAUCCUUUUACAAGAGCAUGCAAGCUCUUACCACUUAUACAAGGUUAACUAUACAUAAGAAUUGUAAGAAUAAGUUAGGAAAUGAAUAGUAAUGAAUAUGGUUCUUAGGAAGGUUUUUGAUCAACUAUAAAUGUCUCUUAUAAGGGGUAUUUAUACCCCUAACCACCAAAGAGACAUUACAAAUAGAUCAUGGCCCAAUUCUUUACUUCUAGCUCUAGAUAAUGCAUUAAAUGCACUGUUAGAACACAGUCGCGGUCGCUACACCUUAAUCGCGAACACAACUCAUUUUUUACGAUCGAGAUUCUUGAGUCGCGGACGUGAAACUUAAAGUGGCAACGACUAUAUUCCACAUGGCACUCUGUGAUUCACCGUGUCAGAAGUAACUGUUGGCGUUUUUCUUGAGCUUGCAUAAAUUGUGGUUGCAAAAUCAAGGGCCUAGAAGCAAUUCCUACUGCUUCCUUAGCAUUGAGAUUCUUGGAUACGAUUGACUGGCUUGUGGGCACAAAACCUUCUACCUUUCAAAAUUAGACUUUCGUGGGCACGAUGCAGGGCUCACGAUAACGAAAUCUUUAAUUGCCUUAAUGGUUAAGUUGUUUAUGAAAGUCGCAUUCACGACAUGCUUGUGACGAUCGUGAUUUAGAGAGAAUUUUUUAGUACUUGAUUUGAUUAAGCUUCUUCAAAGAACAUCUAUGCAUAAUACUCAAAGAUAAGAUUAAAUACACUCAAUCUUAAUUGUCAAGAUCAAAAUCAAUGGUGCCUUGAGUCAUGAAAAGGACUUAGGCUAACAAUCUCCCCUUUUCUUAUUUGACAAUUAAGGUUAAAUUUGAUAGAGAAAAAGUGUAAUAUCCGAAAUGUUUCUUUAAUAAUAAUAAUAUUAGUAAUAAUUAAUAAACGAUUUUUUAUUUAAAUUAAUUUUACUUUAUUUUUAUUUGAUUUAAUUGGAAUGAUUUAAAUAGAAUUUUAAUGCUAGACAAAAUAAGGGAGUUACUUUGUAUAUCUAAUUUGUUUGAUUUUCUUUUAAGAAAUUAAUUAAGUAAAUCCUUUGGAAAAUGGAUUAUUUUUUCGGUCAUUCAAUUUUUCCCCAAUAUGAAUAUAUAAAUUAAUUUAUAUAUUUGAAAGUUAUGAAAGAAUUAGUAAAGGAUAUUUUAUAAAAGAAUUAUUGGGCAAAUGGCAUUUUAAUUAGCUAAUGGUAUUAAUUUUAAUUGGAAAAUAUUUAGCAAAUUGAUUAAUUAAAUUAAUUAUGUUAGGAUUAAAUUGGAAAUUUAUUUUGGAAUAAGGAUUAAAAAUAUAAUUUUAUUAAUAUGGGAUUUUAAUGAAAAUUUGUAUGUUUGGUAUUUUUGUAAUUAUAUAUGUCGGCAAGAGUUUUUUGAUAAUUUUACAUUUAAAAGCAAGGGUAAAUAAGUAAUUAUAUAUUUUCAAUAAUUCUAAUUUUGGCCCAAAUUAAAUAGUUAGCGGCUUAAUUGAAAAGCAAAAGAAAAGUUGGAAGAUCAAUCAGAAAUUUUGUAGGACGAAAUUGUUAUAAUUAAAGAAGUUAAGGGACUAAAUGGUAAAGAAGAAAAGUUCAGGGACCAAUAGUCGAUAUGGAGAGGAGAAGAAAAGAAAAGGAAAGAAAGAGAAGAAGAAGAAGAAGAAGAGGAAGAAGAGGAGGAGGACACGACCAUCGGUGGAACAGCGUAGGAGGCUCGUCCGUGGUGUGGCGGCGAUGGCUAAGGGCGCUGCUGUCAUCGGCAAGCCCGUUGGCGUCAGUGGCUGCAGCUAGAAGUGUCGGCAGGCGUCGAAAAUGGCUAGAAAUGGCAGAUUUUUCUUGCCGCCGAUCAUGGAGUUUCCGGUGACCAUUUGCGGCGUUCUUAGGCUCAAAAUGAUCAGCAACUUCUGGGCUUUCUUUUCCGACCAUCGCCAUCCCUUGAGGCUGCCGGAAUUGCAAAAUUCGAUGAGGUGAAAAAAGUAGGGGCAGCCGGAAUUUUGAACUUUUCUGGUGAGCUCCGGUGAGGGAUGGAUGAUCGAAGGGCAUAUCCAGACUCUACUCAGCUCAAGCUUUCUAAUGGCACCGGUUUCGUGGCGAUCGGACUCCGUUUGAAAAUCGAUGGCUGAGAUCGUCCGUAAAUCUCUCUGAAUGAUCGGGGGUCAGAUCGAAAGAUAAGAAGCUGGGAUCGUCAUCAGUGCAUCGUUUCGAGUCCGUUGGUGCGUUCGGAUCGUCAAUCGGACUCCGACGGCUAGAGGCGAGUCGACCAAGCGAUCAAGCGUCUCGGUAAUUCUCUGGCCCGUUGAUUUUAGAAUUUAUUAGUAAAAUUUAUGUGUUUAUUUGUAGUGUCAAUUAUUAGAAAUAUUAUAUGAAGUUUAUUAGUUAAAAUAAAUAGUUUAUCGGACUGUCUGCCAUUAGUCGUGAUUUGUGAUGUAUGGCGGAGUCGGAAAAAAUAGUGAAGUCUUGGGGACCCGACUCCCGUUAAAAUAAAUUGUUGAAAUAUUUGAAGUAUUUUUUGGCAGGUCUUAGACCCAUUAUAUGGGGGGCAAAUAUCAGUAAAUUAGGGGAGGUUCUGCCGAAUAUGGGACGCCAGUAGAACAUGCCACCUGAUGGGUUGCAUCAGGACCGCGUGUGCACCGGUAUGAAUCAGAGACAGAAAAUAAGGGGUAAAGGUUUGUAAAUUUUAAAAGGUAAAUCUAGGACUUACCCUGGUCGAGCAUUACUCUCUAAGCUGAGUAGAAUGAGUUUGCCGGAGUAAAGGUCCUUGGUCGAGUAUUACUUUCUAGGCGUCGGCUUAUUUGGAAACCUAAGUGACCGGACUUGAUUUAAGGACCUUGGUCAAGCUUCGCUCUUUGGGCGCCAGUCUUAUUGGAGUAAAAGAGCCGAAAGGUAAAUACUGAUAGUGAUAAUUAAGUGACCGAACUUGAGUUAAGGACCCUGAUCGAGCUUCGCUCUCUGGGCACCAGUUCUGUUGGAAUGAGAGAGUCGAGAUGUUAGUGUUGCGAUUAGCGUUCUACUGAAGCACUUUGUCUCGUAGUAUGUGAAAGUUAUUUUUAUUUAAGCAUGGCAUGACACAUAUAUUUUUGCAUGACUUAACGUUUAUUUCAAAUUAGAUAAAUGUGUUAUAAAAGUGUUUGUAAUUAUUUUUGGAUAUAUGAUUUUAACUCACUCUCGAGACUGACAUACUCAAUUUCACUAUUUUUCAAGUGAUUGUUAGUCUUCCCGCAGUUCUUAUCUAGCAACCCGACUCAUUCAUCAUGGGGUUGAUGUAAUUGAUUUUAGUAUCUUUAACUUGUAAAAUUUAGAUUCUCCACAGUAGAAAUUUUUAGACUUAUCAGUUCGUAAUUUUAUAUAAGUUCAAGUCUCGCCUAACUAUGCUGGCGAACCGAAUUUAAUUUAUAGUACUCGUUGAUUUAAGAUUAAUUAUGGAAAUAGUGCUUUGGAUUGAGUUCGGAUUUUAAUUUGAUUGAGUUAGUGAAUAAUCAAGCUUACUACGGGAUUUGGUGACCUUAAGCCUACCCAUUCCCUAGUGCCCAUCACGGGCCUACAGAUCGAGUCGUGACAAAAAGAAAAUGAAGAAUUGAACAAGGUCAAAAUGAGAAGAGAUUCUCUCCCCCUUUAUAAAUGAUGUUUUUGAACCUACCCUUUUUUUAGUUACUAUGAGCGUGGCUUUUUUGCAGCCUGCUCCAAACGAUUGCAACUAUGUCACUAUGUCACUAUGUCCAAGGUUGUCUCAUCCGUACUAGGCUCGAUUUAAAAGUGAGACAUUUAGGAAGAGGUCUCAAGGUGUCAUGACAAUCGUGAUGACCACAAAUUAUUGGAGAAGAUUGGGAGUCACCACUCGAGUAAAAUAAUUGGGACAAAUAGAGAGGGGCGAAGGAUAAUGGCUCAGAUUUAUCAUAGACAGCCUAACUUUCUCCCUCCUUAAAUCAUAGAUUUGGUUUCAGAAAGUUAGGUAUGCGCUGGGAAGGGGUUAGGCACCCCAACAUGCCCAGACACAAAGUCCGUGCUCUACUAGACUCUUAAGGCUUUUAGUUUCCCUAAUCAUACUAACCUAGAUUGGUUGCUACCCGUUUUAUUACAAUGAUAUUUUAUUAUCUUAUUUAAUCAUGCAUAAAAUGAGGAAAUUAGAUUACUAACCUAGCAUACAUCUACCUAUAGAGAAGGCACAUUGAUGCUACUAACCUAAGGGAGGUAGGUUGCUACCUUAGAUUUUAUCUAACAUGCCAAGGUGACCAAAUUGAACUAUUUUUAUUUAAACGUAUGGAAGCUAGGUUUAUUUUAUCUUUGAGCAAUUAGGUGAAUGAAAUAUGGAAAGCAGGGAACUCACAUUUAUGAGUUGAUUUAUUUUAGUAAGCAUGUGAAGUGAUUAAUUAACCUAAGUCCAGUUUACCUUUAGUAUAUGAGGUAAGAUCUAAAUAUAUCAAAGUAAUAAAUAAACAAAUAUAAAGAAUGGAAAGGAAGGAAUUAAUGAGGUACAAACUGGAUUAGCAAAAUAUAAUGGGGGAAUAAGUAGCAUCCUUAAUAAACUUAAACCAAUAAUCAAUAAGGCAUCAAAAUAAUCAUAAUAUCCACACAAAAUUAAACUCAUUCCCACCAAAAGGAGUUAAGUCCAUUUGGCUAACCAAACCUGUUCUAGUAAAAUCGAAAGUUAGUGUAGUACUCAUGAAAUAAUUAAAAUAAUAAAAGCAAUACAACCAAACACAUUUACCAUAUGAAUAGUCACUCAAAUAGAAUUAAUCACACCAAAUCUAACCUAAAGAAAGUAAAUGGAAAGCAGAACACCUAAUUAAACAUAAUCAUGCUAUCAAUCAUAUUAUUAACCUAUUUAUCAUCAAUCCUAAAAAAAAUUAAACCAUACAUUUUAUCUUUAACAAUAAUCAACAAAUCCAAACAUAUGACAUAAAACCCUAAACAAUUAAUAAAAUAGAAAAUAAUUAAACUUGUCACUCUAAUCUUUUGCUAAUCAUGCAUUAACAACUAAUUAAACCAAUAUUAAAACCCACCAAACAGAAAAUAAACAUAUUCAUCAAGUAAUCAACAUAAUAUAUAAAAGCAAUUAAGACCCAAAAUUAAUCAAAACUACCAAAAAAGAAGCAUUAAGCUUCUAUGAGCUUACCCUACAUGGGGCCUUAGCCCACGUGGGCUAAGCAAAAGCUCGCGUGGCCUAAGGCUUACCCUACAUGGGGUAAGCUCUUAGAAGUUUGGAGCUUCUGUUUUGGAGAAUUUCUACGCCAAAAAUAAUUUCCAAAUGUAAAAUGGAUGUGAAUAUGAUGAAUUGAACGUAGAUAGGUACACAAGGCAAGUUUAUUACGUAGUUUUCAGCCCUCAGAUUAUAUCUUUGAAGUUAAUCAAGGAAAGGAGUGAUUUUAAGGUGAGAAAGGUCUUACUCGAGUUGUUUAGAAACCAAGAAGCUCUAGAACCUUUUAGAAUAAACGGAUUAAACCUGCAAAACAUAAGAAAUGUGAAUGGUGCAAAGAUUGAGGGUCUUUUGGGUUUAAUUUAAGGAAAAAAAAUGUAAUGAAAUAUGGGUCUUUCAUGAGCUAUCAAUGGAAGCUUAAAGGUUGUUUUAAGGACUUAUGUUGCUGGAAGAUUCAAGAAUGGUGUCUUUGAAGGUAUUAAGUAUAUGGGAUCUAAACUUCUUGGAUAAUGGGUAAAGGUGAUGAAGAUUAUAGGGUUUUAUGUAUUAAGGAGUGUGUAUGGUGAAGUUUCUCUGGGAUUAUUUUGGAUAUGAGAAAGAAGCUCAAAACUUCUAGAGGCUUGGUUGUGGCUAGGGUGAGUGUAGAGAAUGUUU
RNAcentral lists this long non-coding RNA (68114 nucleotides) under Ricinus communis (castor bean). The record is from RNAcentral. Lineage: Eukaryota; Viridiplantae; Streptophyta; Magnoliopsida; Malpighiales; Euphorbiaceae.